UUUGUUUUUGUAAAUAUGAUUAGUUCAUCGUUCCUGAUUCAGCCUAUUAUGAAUAAACAUGUUUGCAAUGACAACUAGAGAUCAUAGUUUCUUGUGACAUGCUUGAUUAGCUAUGAGUUAUAAUGGUUUACCUUGCAUGCCAACAUGCUAUUGAGAUGGUUAUGAUGUGGUAUGAUAGGGUGGUAUCCUCCUCUGAAUGAUUUAAGUGACUUGACUUGGCACAUGUUCAUGCAUGUAGUGGAAACAAAAUCAACAUAGCCUUCACGAUAUUUAUGUUCAUGGUGGAUUAUAUCCUACUCAUGCUUGCAUUCGAUGUUGAUCAAUUUUAAUGCAUGUUCAUGACUGUUGUCGCUCUCUAGCUGGUCGCUUCCCAGUCUUUUGCUAGCCUUCACCUGUACUAAGCGGGAAUACUGUUUGUGCAUCCAAACUCUUUAAACCCCAAAGUUAUUCCACAUGAGUCCACUAUACCUACCUAUAUACGGUAUCUACCUGCCGUUCCAAGUAAAUUUGUAUGUGCCAAACUUUAAACCUUCAAAUAAAUAUCAUGUUUUGUAUGCUCAAAUAGCUCAUGUAUCAACUAGGGUUGUCUAUAUCUUCCAUAUUAGGCGGGUUAUUCUCAAGAGGAGUGGACUCUGCUCCUCACUCACGAGAUAAAUGGCUCGUCACCGGGAUGCCCAGUCCCAUGCUUUAUGCAAACUAAAUCAAAAUAAUUGCAAACAAAACUCCCCCUGGGACUCUUGUUAGUUGGAGGCACUCAUUGUUUCGAGCAAGCCAUGGAUUGAUGCUUGUUGGUGGAGGGGGGAGUAUAAACUUUACCAUUCUGUUUGGGAACUGCCUAUAAUGUGUGUAGGAUGGAAUAUAUCGCCAUCUCUUGGUUGUUAUGUUGACAAUGAAAGUAUACCGCUCAAAAUAUUAUUCACCUAUGUUUCAAAAUCGAGCCUUGGCACCUCUACAAAUCCAUGCUUCCCUCUGUGAAGGGCCUAUCUAUUUACUUUUAUGCUGAGUCAUCAUCCUCUUAUUAAAAAGCACCAGUUGGAGAGCACCGCUGUCAUUUACAUUCAUUAUUAUUAGUUUACAUUGAGUAUGACUUGAGUGGAUCUCUUUUACCAUGAAUUACAAUGUCUAGUCAGUCCUUGGUCUUUAAAGGUUCUCUGCAUUUAUGUUUUGCGGUCUCAGAAAGGGCUAGCGAGAUACCACCUUGUUAUAUCAUAUUAUGAUUGUUUUGAGAAAGUGUUGUCAUCUGAGUUUUAUUAUUAUGGCUCGCUAGUUGAUUAUGCUAUUGAUAUGAGUAAACUUGAGACCUAUGCGUUAUUAUGAAUGUGGUUAGUUAUAAUCUUUGCUGAAAACUUGAAUGCUGGCUUUACAUAUUUACAACAACAAGAGCAAGCAGAGUUUGUAAAAGUUUUUCUUUAUCACUUUCAGUUUGUCAACUGAAUUGCUUGAGGACAAGCAAAGGUUUAAGCAUGGGGGAGUUCAUACGUCUCCAACGUAUCUACUUUUCCAAACACUUUUGCCCUUGUUUUGGACUCUAACUUGCAUGAUCUGAAUGGAACUAACCCGGACUGACGCUGUUUUCAGCAGAAUUACCAUGGUGUUAUUUAUGUGCAGGAGCAAACGUUCUCGGAAUGACCUGAAACUUCAUGGAGACACUUUUCAUAAAAUAAGAAAAACACAUGCCAAAGAUGAAGGCCAGGGGGCCCACCAUCUUGCCACGAGGGUGGGGGGCGCGCCUGCCCCCCUAGGGCGCACCCCCUACCUUGUGGGCCCCCUGUUGUAUCUCCGACUCCAACUCCACCUCCAUAUAUUGAGUUUCAAUGAGAAAAAAAUCAGAGAGAAGAAAUCAUCGCGUUUUACGAUACGGAGCCACCGCCAAGCCCUAAAACCUCUCGGGAGGGCUGGUCCGGAGUCCGUUUGGGGCUCCAGAGAGGGGAAUACGUCGCCAUCGUCAUCAUCAACCAUCCUCCAUCAGCAAUUUCAUGAUGCUCACCAUUGUGCGUGAGUAAUUCCAUUGUAGGCUUGCUGGACGGUGAUGGGUUGGAUGGGAUCUAUCAUGUAAUCAAGUUAGUUUUGUUAGGGUUUGAUCCCUAGUGUCCACUAUGUUCUGAGAUUGAUGUUGCUAUGACUUUGCUAUACUUAAUGCUUGUCACUAGGGCCCGAGUGCCAUGAUUUCAGAUCUGAACCUAUUAUUUUUUCAUCAAUAUAUGAGUGGUCUUGAUCCUAUCUUGCAAGUCUAUAGUCACCUAUUAUGUGUUAUGAUCCGUUAACCCCGAAGUGACAAUAAUCGGGAUACUUACCGGUGAUGACCGUAGUUUGAGGAGUUCAUGUAUUCACUAUAUGUUAAUGCUUUGUUCCGGUUCUCUAUUAAAAGGAAACCUUAAUAUCCCUUAGUUUCCGUAAGGACCCCGCUGCAAUGGGAGGGUAGGACAAAAGAUGUCAUGCAAGUUCUUUUCCAUAAGCACGUAUGACUAUAUUCGGAAUACAUGCCUACAUUACAUCGAUGAAUUGGAGCUAGUUCUGUGUCACCCUAGGUUAUGACUGUUACAUGAUGAACCGCAUCUGGCAUAAUUCUGCAUCACUGAUCCAUUGCCUACGAGCUUUCCAUAUAUUGUUCUUCGCUUAUUUACUUUUCCGUUGCUAUUGCUAUCAUCACUAAAAAAUACCAAAAACAUUACUUUUACUAUCAUUACCUUUUGCUACCGUUACCACUACAAUCAUGUUACUUUGCUACUAAAUACUUUGCUGCAGAUAUUAAGUUUCCAGGUGUGGUUGAAUUGACAACUCAGCUGCUAAUACUUGAGAAUAUUCUUUGGCUCCCCUUGUGUCGAAUCAAUAAAUUUGGGUUGAAUACUCUACCCUCGAAAACUGUUGCGAUCCCCUAUACUUGUGGGUUAUCAAUGGCCAUCGUCGCGUGUCGGGGCACGCCUCCGCGAUCCGUAGAUCGAUCUGGUAUGUCCUGCUCUACUGUCCAGGUCCUGCCGACGGUCAUAUGUAUAUGCUCGAGCUGUUUUAACCCUGCCUUUACAGCAAGGUAGUAUGGGCUGGUGUUCGGCUUGGGUUGCCGCUUUGUCCCGACCACGUGGUGGUCGGUUAGCCGCCUUGUGCACUGAUGGCACGGGCUCCAAUGCCUUGUCAUCGAAUUGAGGUAGUAAUUUGCGCUUCGGGUGACUUUUGGGUGGUCGCUCGAGGCCGUAUUCCUCGGCUGCCAGGACGUUAGUCCAUCUAUCGUUGAGAAGAUCUUGAUCAGCUUGAAGCUGUUGCUGCUUCUUUUUUAGGCUCCUUGUAGUGGCUAUUAGCCGGCGCUUAAAGUGCUCCUGCUCGAGAGGUUCCUCAGGCAUGAUAAAAUCUCAUCGUCGAGGCUCACCUCAUCCUUGGAGAGUGGAAGAUAGUUACUGUCCUCCGAGUCUUCGUGUUCGGCCUGUUCAUCAGGGCUAACUCGCCCAUAUUCCCGUUCGCCCUGUUCGGAAGUUGGCUCAACAGGGUCUUCAUUGUCAUCAGCAUCUUCUAGAGUAUUGUUUUCUCCUGUGCCGGUAUUGCUAUCUUUUUCACGGCGUGACUUAGAGGGGCGCCACUGUCGUCGGUGCUUUGGCUGUAUCUCAGGAGGUUUAUCUUCCACUGGGUCUUCUUUGUCAUCAUUGUUAACAUCUUUGGGUGUGUCCACCAUGUAUACGUCGUAGGAGGAGGUGGCCGUCCAGCGCCCGGUAAAUGGCGGGUUUUGGGCCUGCUCCUCUUCGGCAUCAUCAUCCAUACCGUCAAUGUCUUCGGAGUCGUAGUUGAGCAUGUCAGUUAGAUCUUUGACAGUGGCUAUUAAGUGGGAGGUGGGUGGGAAACGAAAUUCCCCGUCAUCAGCCCCCCAGUUCAAACCGGAUAUAAUUCGGUUGUGAGUCCCCUGCUAAAGAGAGAGUUUUUAAUGAGUUUAGCACAUCGCCUAAAGGUGAGUGCCGAAAGAUGUCAGCGGAACAGAAUUCAACGAUCGGUGCCUGGUAAGGCUCGGCGGACGUAGAUGCAUGUAGUUUGGAACCAGUGACCGGAGAUGAAUCCGGGGGUCCGGUGACGCAGACCCCGCUCAAAGCUGCGUCUGUGUGCGGCUCCAACGCCGAUGAGUCUGCGGCUUCCGUGGCGGGGUUAAGCUUCCCUUCUUCGGAUGGCACAGGCUGCUCCGGAUCUAGGGCCAGAGCGCUUACACAGGCAAUCUCCUGGGUAUGGUCCGAUGACAGAUUUAGGUCAUGUUCAUCGCGGUGGCAGGGAGCGGCUGCCAUGGGCUCAAAUCCUUCGAAGAUCAAGUCUCCGCGGAUAUCAGCUACGUAGUUCAAGCUUCCAAACCUGACCUCACAGCCAGGAGCGUAGCUGUCGAUUUGCUCUAGAUGGCCAAGCGAGUUGGCCCGCAGUGCGGAGCCGCCGAAUACGAAGAUCUGGCCAGGGAGAAAGACAUCCCCGGGCAGCGUUGUUGUAGAUGAUGGAUGGAGCCAUCGAACCUUCUGAUGACGACACAGUGGAACUCUCAAUGAAAGCACCAAUGUUAGUGUCAAAACCAGGGGAUCUUGGGUAGGGGGUCCCGAACUAUCCGUCUAGGGUCGAUGGUAACAAGACACAGGGACACGAUGUUUACCCAGGUUCGGGCCCUCUCUAUGGAGGUAAUACCCUACUUCCUGCUUGAUUGAUCUUGAUGAAUAUGAGUAUUACAAGAGUUGAUUUACCACGAGAUCGUAAUGGCUAAAAGGCUAGAAGUCUAGCCUAUAUGAUUAUGAUAAUCUCUAUGGACUAAACCCUCAGGUUUAUAUAGACACCGGAGGGGACUAGGGCUAUACGAAGUCGGUUACAGAGAAAGGAAUCUUCAUAUCCGAAGGCUAAGCUUGCCAUCCACGCCAAGGAGAGUCCCAUCCGGACACGAGUGAGAGUCUUCGGUCUUGUAUCUUCAUAGCCCAUCAGUCCGGCCCACGUCCAGCAGGCCGGACGCCCGAGGACCCCUUAGUCCAGGACUCCCUCAGGGGCCACCCCCCUUUCCUUCCUUCUCUCCUCCCCUUCCUUCUCUCCUACUCCUACUACUUGGAAGGGGGGAAUCCUACUCCCGGUGGGAGUAGGACUCCCCUAGGGCGCGCCAUAGAGGGCCGGCCCUCCCCCUCCUCCACUUCUUUAUAUACGGGAGAGGGGGGUACCCCAUAGACACACAAGUUGAUCAUUGUCUUAACCGUAUGCGGUGCCCCCUCCACCAUAAUCCACCUCGUUCAUAUCGUAGUGGUGCUUAGGCGAAUCCCUGCUCCGGUAGCAUCAUCAUCACCGUCAUCACGCCGUCGUGCUGACAAAACUCUCCCUCGACAGUCAGCUGGAUCUAGAGUUCGUGGGACGUUGUAGGAUCGAAAGUAUGUCUAGAGGGGGGUGAUUAGACUACUCGACCAAAUAAAAAUCUAGCUUUUUCCCAAUUUUAGUUCUUGGCAGAUUUUAGCUAUCUUAGCACAAGUCAAGCAAUCUCCACACAAUUCAAGCAAGCAUGCAAAAGAGUAUAUGAGCAGCGGAAAGUAAAGCAUGCAACUUGCAAGAAUGUAAAGGGAAGGGUUUGGAGGAUUCAAACGCAAUUGGAGACACAGAUGUUUUUGUCGUGGUUCCGAUAGGUGGUGCUAUCGUACAUCCACGUUGAUGGAGACUUCAACCCACGGAGGGUAACGGUUGCGCGAGUCCAUGGAGGGCUCGACCCACGAAGGGUCCACGAAGAAGCAACCUUGUCUAUUCCAUCACGGCCGUCGCCCACGAAGGACUUGCCUCAAUAGCGGUAGAUCUUCACGAAGUAGGCGAUCUCCUUGCCCUUACAAACUCCUUUGUUCAACUCCACAAUCUUGUCGGAGACUCCCAAGUGACACCUAGACAAUCUAGGAGACACCACUCUCCAAGAAGUAACAAAUGGUGUGUUGAUGAUGAACUCCUUGCUCCUGUGCUUCAAAUGAUAGUCUCCCCAACACUCAACUCUCUCUCACAGGAUUUGGAUUUGGUGGAAAGAAGAUUUGGGUGGAAAGCAACUUGGGGAAGGCUAGAGAUCAAGAUUCAUAUGGUUGGAAUGGAAUAUCUUGACCUCAACACAAGUGUAGGUGGUUCUCUCUCAGAAAAUGUGUAUUGGAAGUGUAGGUAUGUUCUGAUGGUUCUCUCCACGAAUGAAGAGUGGGUGGAGGGGUAUAUAUAGCCUCCACACAAAAUCUAACCAUUACACACAAUUUGCCAAACUCGGUGGGACCGAAUUGUUAAACUCGGUCGAACCGAUUCAGCAAACCUAGUGACCGUUAGGAUUUUCAGUGGGACUGAGAUGCAACUCGGUAGGACCGAUAUGGUUAGGGUGAGGGCAUAACGUAAUCUCGAUGUGACCGAUUACACAAACUCGGUGGGACCGAUUUUGCUAAUAAGCUAACCAGAGAGUUGGUUAGGUAAACUCGGUGGGACCGAUUCGCUCAUCUCGGUUAGACCGAAGUGUUACAAAAGGGAAACAGAGAGUUUACAUUGCAAUCUCGGUGGGACCGAUCGCUCAUCUCGGUAAGACCGAAACGUUAUGAAGGGAAACAGAGAUAUUACAAUCCCAUCUCGGUGAGACCGAGAUCCCUAUCGGUGAGACCGAUUUUCCUAGGGUUUGUGGCAGUGGCUAUGACAUUUGAAACUCGGUGGCGCCGGAUAGAAAGAAUCGGUGGGGCCGAGUUUGACUUUUGGUUUAGGUCAUAUGUGGAUGUGGGAAGGUAGUUGAGGAUUUUGGAGCAUAUCACUAAGCAUUUUGAGCAAGCAAGCCAUUAAGCAACACCUCAUCCCUCCUUGAUAGUAUUGGCUUUUCCUAUAGACUCAAUGUGAUCUUGGAUCACUAAAAUAUAAAAUGUAGAGUCUUGAGCUUCAAGCUUGAGCCAAACUUUUUGUCCUUAGAAUUUUGAGGGAUCCACUUUCCUCAUCCAUGUCAUGCCAUUCAUUGAGCUUUUCCUAAAAUAUUAAUCUUGGAAUAAUGUUAGCUCAAUGAGCUAUAUGUUGUUAGGAAUUACCAAAACCACCCAGGGAUAGGUGCACUUUCAAUCUCCCCCUUUUUGGUAAUUGAUGACAACAUAUAGAUCAAAGCUUCGACAAAUGAUAAUAAGAGUGAAAGAUAUUGUCGCUUUGAGAAGUAUGUGAAAAGCAAGAGCUCCCCCUAAAUUUGUGCAUAUCUUAAGAUUUGCUUUGGACUGCAAAUGCACAAUGAGUUAGGAUCAUGGGUCACUCUUCCAUGUCACAUACAUCUUGGUGGAGCGCUCAAAAUAAUAAAGAUUGAAUACAUGCACUCAUCACCAAGUAAAGUGAAUGAUCAUAUAAGGAUAAGUAAGAUAAUAUCAUCUAACAAGCAUAAGUGUAGCUUAUGAUCAACCACAUGAUCAUCAAUGUCUCACAGAUAAUAGCAUAGUAUCUCAAGCAAUCAAAAGACAAACAAAGUUCAACCACCAAAGCAAGAGAGAAUAAAAAGCAACACUCUCUCUCGAAGCAUAUGAUCUAUACAUGUUUCUCCCCCUUUGGCAACAAGUUACCAAAAAGUUCAUAGAAAAUGCAUAGCACUAAAACAUCUCUCAAGCUUGGUCUUCAGGUGGUGGCGUAGAGAUGGCUCCUUGGAUGAAGACUUCAGUUGAUGUGGAUGGAGCUGAAGGAGUUGGUGCUGGAGCUGGUUGCACUGAAGUUGUAGCUGGUGCAAAUGAAGUGGCUCUAGUGUCUGGAACAGGAACUGCAGCAGACCUCUGAGCUCUAGGCACUCUGGCAAAUGCAUCAGUGAUUGUCUUGCCCUUCCUCUCCUGCAUAUCAUCUUGAAGUUGCUCCACAACAGACUGGAUCUCAGAUAGCUUCACAUCCAAGUCAUAGAAUUUUUGCUCCACGAUUCUUUCCAAGCUCUCCUGGUUUUGAGUCAGGGUGGCCAGUCCCUUCUCAAUCCUCAGAGUGGAUGCAAUCAGGUAGCCAAGCUGAUCUUGCUUCCUCUUCAGGAGAUACUGAGAUGCUUCUUUAGUAGUUGGCAUCCUAGUAGCCUUUUCAGCUUUUGCCUUCUCCUUCUUGGCUUGUGCGUGCACAGAAGAUGGUUCAUCCUCAUUCAUAACCACGGUGUUGUCCUCGAAGUCUAGAUGGAUAGGCAUGUGCUCCUUGUCUAGCAGAUAUGUACUAGUGCCCAUCUUGGAGUUGAUUAGCUCCUGGAUCUGUGGGGCAUACCCACAACUCCUAUUCUGAUCUGCAGUUGUCCUCUUGAUAGUUUCAACUAUUAGGCUCAUGACUUUGAACUUCUGUGGGACAUCAAAGAUGUGAAGCAAGUUAAUUGCAUGGCCUCUGAUCAUCUUGUGAUCACCUGACUUUGGCAAGAGAGUGUGCCUCAGGAUCUAGUUGAUGGUUGGCAAGCCUGACAGAAGGUAAUGUACAGAUCCAAACUUAUGGGUCUCAAGAGCAGCAUCUGGGAUCUCCUUGUACAUGUGUGCCAUUGUGUUGUGAUCCUUCUUCCUGUUGGCAUAGACAUCCAAGUCAUCUUCACUCUCUUUUGGGGCAUUGAUCAACUUCGCCCAUUCAGCAACUAUGGACUGGUACCUCGUACCUUCAAACAUCCAGACAAUCCUUCCAUCUGGGUAGAAAUGAGCUAUGGAGUAGAACUGCAUGAUGAGCUCAUCAUUCCAUUUUGUGAGCUUCUGAGCCACAAACUCAUCGACUCCACAAGCCUUGAAACUAUCAUGUACACCUGGAUAGUGAUCCUCAUUCUCCUUGAUGUAGUCCCAGUCGACCCAUCUCAUGUCACACACUAUGGGCUUCUUGUCAAGCAACACUGUCUCAUAGAAGUCCUGCUGUUCCUUUGUGUGGAACCUGUAAUCAACAGCAGUCCUUCUCCUGGUGGCAUAUGGAUCUGACUCUCUCCACCUCAGACCUGAGUCCUUCCUUAUCUUCAUGUUCUCAGCUACUGGAUGAGCAUCAUUGUGAUCUGGGAUUUCUGGCUUCAGCUUCCUCAAUACAUGUGACUCAUCAUCUUCUUCUUCCAUUUCAGCUUCAGGCACUGGGGCCUUGUUCUUUUCAGCAGCUGGUAUACUCCUGGUAUUCCUCUUAGGUGCACUCUUGGGCUUGGAGGCUGCUUUGGGUGCUUCUUUGGCCUUUGAUGUUGCAGCCGCUGACUUUAUAGCAUCACCCAUCAGCUUUUGUGCCUUGGGUGCUGGUGCAGCAACCUCUUCUUCCUCUUCCUCUUCAGAAUCUCUCAUGAUUGAGGAUCUCCCAAGCACUCUAGCAGUGGUCUUUUUGAUCCUCUCCUUCCUCUCCUUCCCUUCUGCAGCAACCUCUUUGGGUUCAGAUCCCAAAGGGCCUUGAGUAGAUGCUCUGGCCUUAGACAUUGGAAUUCUCUUUGCAGGAACCUUUUGCUUCAUGCCUAGCUUGGUGGCAGCAACAGCGCUAUAUUCCUUCUUAACCACUUUCUUCUUGGAAGUGGCCUCAUCCUCAACUGCCACAUAGUCUUCAUCCUCAGAUUCAGAGGUCUUCUACUUUCUGGCCCUGGUGGCAGCUUUGGGUAAGUUGCUUGGGGUGCUCCGGCUACCAUCAUCUGAACUGCUAGAGGGACUAGUGCCCUCACUCAGGUGAACCUGCUCCUCUGACCUGUUCUGGCUAUCACUCUGAUCAGACAUAUUGCAAGCACUGACAGCAGACCCUGUGAAUAGAUAUAGAUGAGAUAGAGUGGAUGAGCAUCACAAAAUGCAGAGGUUUUAGCAAAAGAAUGAGUCAAGAACUUAGUUUUAGUUUUCCACAAAAAGCAUUUUGGAUCAACCGAUUUGUAAACUCGGUGAUACCGAAGCAGCUGCUGGAACCUAAACUAGUGAACUCGGUCAGACCGAGUCACAGUUCGGUGGCACCGAGACUGCUAGGGUUUCACAAAUUCCUGAACUCGGUCACACCGAUUUGCAAUUCUCGGUCAGACCAAAAAUUACAUGUGCAAUGGCCUAAGCCAAAUCGGUGGUACCGAGUUCCACAACUCGAUGGGUCCGAGAUGGUUUCGGCGGAAACCUAACCCUAAAUUUUCAAUUCAUAACUAAACUACGGAGUGUUUUGACUGGAUAAGAAUGAUCUCAAUCAUGGCAAGAUACAUGGCGAACACAAUGUGCUAGGAAUCAGAUAGGGAUAGCACAGUGAUCGAGUUCAUACCCUAGUUCGGCGAUGAACUCGCUACGGCGGCAACGGCGGGGAUGAUUCCCGUUAACGGCGGCGGAGACCAGCAGCAGGAGGCGGCUGGCGACGAGGAAGACGAUCCGGAGACCCUGGAGGCAGAGCGGGCUAAGCGCGGUCGAGGAGGUUCAGAAAGUUUUCCAAAAUUUGACCUGUGGGUAUAUAUAGCAUGACCCUGUCGGUGUGACCGAGUGGAACAACUCGGUGGCACCGAGAUUCAUAACUGCAAUCAGUUACUGAAACUCGGUGUGACUGAAAGGUUCAAAUCGGCUGCACCAAGAUUGAAAACCUAGAUCGACUUAGUGAUCUCGGUAUGACCGAAAUGGAUGAAUUGGUCAGACCGAAACGCACAAAGAAGUUUUGGAAGUUUAAGUCUAUGACGAAUCGGGGACUCCGAGUGCUCCUCACAUAGAGUGGUUCGAAUCUGACUUGAUCAAAUUUUGUGAUGUAGCAUGAAUAGAGUUUGAGACGAGAAAAGCAUAGAUAGCUAGGGAGGGUUCUUAGGCAUUCUUGUCCAUCCACUUGGCAAAAGAAAAGAAAACCAAUCAAUCAAAACAACAAGUGGAUGUCCUCGAAUGAGUAAAAUAUGCAAUCAACAUGCUCACACAAUAAAAUGGCAAUUGAAAUAUGUCGCAAAGCAUGCACAACCAAUUCUAGAAUCUAUCAAACAAUUUGCGAUGACUAGGUCAUCUAUAUAUGAGUAUAUUGACUUAGGAGUCAAAUGAGAACAUUUGAUCAUAGGUCAUACUCAUCGUUUAAGCACAAGUGGGGUUACCACUUUUACAUAAAGCAUUGUUGUGCUCACACCAUUAGAGUUGCUUUAGCUCAAUUCUUAGAGUAAAGCUCCCCCUAGAUGUGAGAUCCCCCCUAAGAGGGAUGAACUAACCUUGGGUUUUGUCGAUGAUGACUUCAUGUAGAUGUUGAAGAUGUGGAUGCUCAAUGUUGAUGUAGAUCAUUUGAAGCUAUCCAUUGGAGUGAGUUGCACUUUCAAUACCUACAUGGGUUAGUCCCACAAGGAACAAACAAGGAUAUCCAUAGACAUAAAGUGAUGCACACACAAGAUGAUGUCUAUGAAAGCUUUUAGGUUACCUUGUCCCUUGUCUUACCAACAAGAGGGUUUGUGACUCCUUGAACUAGUGCAAGAUGUGGAAGUUGAUUGCACUUGUUCUUGCCAAGAUGAUAAAAGUGAAGUAUGUUGGCAGAGUCACCCUCAAGAACUCUCUAGUUCUUCUUCUUCAGGAUCCACACCAUCUUGAUGGGAAUCCUCGGUGUUGUAGUUGUACUUGAUGAAGUGGAACUUGAAGUAGUCUUGUGAACCCACUUGACCAAGGCCUUAGGAGCUUAUUCAAAUGCAUCAAUUUCCUCUUGAAGCUUGUCCUUGCCUUUUUGCUUGUGGUCUUGUGGUGGAAGAUCAUCUUGAGCUUGUGUCCCUUUGAAAGAAGUAGGAUCAUACUUCUCUUGUUGAGGAACAAACUUCGUCUUGGGGUAUUGAUCUUCUUCCCACUCAACUCCAUUGGCAUUGAACUUUCGUUCAAAACCAACACCUUGAUUCUUUAGGUGCCUUCCUUGCUUGCGUACAAUUUCCUCGAAUUGCUUACUUCCGGCAAGGCUCAUGUAAACACCUUUCUCUAUAAUUCCCUUCAAUAAGCUAUUUUCUUGCUCAAGUGUAACUUGGCUAAGAGAAUCAUUAGUGGAAUCAAGAGAACUACUAGAAGCAACAAUAUUGGAUUUAGCAUGAUUAUUGUUACUACUAGAGGAAGAAUCUUUCUUGUUCUUGUUACUAGACUUGACUUGAGGCAUGUAAGUGGAUAAGAGUAAACGCUUGGCAAUGUAAGAAGAACUUUUCUUACGAAGAUCAUCAUUGAUUGCUUUUAAGAGCUCAUGCUCUUGCUCAAGGUUGAGCUUUCCAAAGCGUAAUUUCUCAUGAGUCCUUAAAAGUUCUCGAUGAUCUCCUAAGAUAGUUUCAUGAGCUAACUUAAGAGUGUUUAGUUCUUUAGUUAGAGACUCAAUCUUCUCCUUAUCAUUGUCAUUCGUUUUAUCUUGAUUAGCAUGAUUAAUUGACGUUUCAUCACAGUAUUCAUCACUAGAGUUGUCAACAAGUAAAUCAUCAUCACCUAACAAGUCAUCUUCAUCACUAUUGAAAUCAACAUACUCGGGGUGUGAUACCUUUGGGCCUUUAGCCAUGAAGCAUGUUCCAACUCCUUCAUUUGGUGAGUCAAAUAUGUCGUAGGAGUUGGUUGUCACAAGUGCUAGACCGACAACACCUUCAUCUUGAGUAUAUUCGGAGUCGGAGUGAUAGCUUCUCUCGGAGUGGUUGUCGGAGUCGGAGCCGGAUACCCAUUCACCAACAUGAGCUUGAUGUCUUCGUUUUGUGUAGCUCCUUGAUGACUUGUCCUUUCUUUCCGAAUCCUUGCUUCUUUGUGAGGGUCUUCGUUCAUAACGAUCAUCUCUACUCCUUCUUUCUCUAGACGGUGAUUCUUCUCUUCUCUUGUAGGGGGCCGUACACUCAUUGGAAUAGUGUCCGGGCCUUCCACAAUUGUAGCAGUUUCGCUCUCGACUAGAAUAUCUUUUGUCAUUGUAGGACCUUAACUUGGAGCUUCUCUCUUUGCUUCUACUCUUGUAGAACUUGUUGAAGUUCUUCACCAUUAAGCUUAAUUCUUCAUUGAAGGUUUGUUUCUCACUCGAUGAUGUGGGGGCUUCACAUGAGGCUUUGUAAGCACCACUUGAUUUGUUGUGAAGUUCCUCUUUAUCCUUGAGUGACAUCUCAUGAGCAACAAUUCUUCUGAUGACUUCCGCUGGCUUGAGAUCUUUGUAAUUUGGCAUCAUUUGGAUCAAUGUGCACACGGUAUCAUAUUUUCCAUCCAAGGCUCUUAGGAUCUUCUUGAUGAUGAAUCUAUCGGUCAUCUCUUCACUCCCUAAACCGGCAAUCUCAUUUGUGAUAAGAGCAAGCCUAGAGUACAUUUCAGCAACACCUUCACCAUCCUUCAUUUUGAACUUGUCAAGUUGACUUUGAAGCACAUCCAAUUUGGAUUCCUUGACGGAGUCGGUACCUUCAUGCAUAUCAAUCAAAGUAUCCCAAAUCUCCUUUGCAUUCUCAAGAUGGCUGAUUUUGUUGAAUUCUUCGGGGCACAAUCCGUUGAAGAGGAUAUCACAAGCUUGAGCGUUGUAUUGCAGCAUUUUCAACUCUUCCGCGGUGGCUUCACGGUUUUGUUCUUUUCCGUCAAAGAAUUCACCUUGCAAGCCAAUACACACAAUAACCCAAACGGCGGGGUUAUGUCCAAGAAUAUGCAUUUUCAUCUUAUGCUUCCAACUAGCAAAAUUAGUGCCAUCAAAGUAAGGACAUCUACGAUGAUAAUUUCCCUCACCAGACGCCAUACUCUCCUAGGUUGUGAAACCAAGGCUAUGACCGCCAAAUGCUAUGGAAAUCAAAGCAAAUGGAGACCAAAGCUCUGAUACCACUUGUAGGAUCGAAAGUAUGUCUAGAGGGGGGGUGAUUAGACUACUUGACCAAAUAAAAAUCUAGCCUUUUCCCAAUUUUAGUUCUUGGCAGAUUUUAGCUAUCUUAGCACAAGUCAAGCAAUCUCCACACAAUUCAAGCAAGCAUGCAAAAGAGUAUAUGAGCAGCGGAAAGUAAAGCAUGCAACUUGCAAGAAUGUAAAGGGAAGGGUUUGGAGGAUUCAGACGCAAUUGGAGACACAGAUGUUUUUGUCGUGGUUCCGAUAGGUGGUGCUAUCGUACAUCCACGUUGAUGGAGACUUCAACCCAUGGAGGGUAACGGUUGCGCGAGUCCACGGAGGGCUCCACCCACGAAGGGUCCACGAAGAAGCAACCUUGUCUAUUCCAUCACGGCCGUCGCCCACGAAGGACUUGCCUCACUAGCGGUAGAUCUUCACGAAGUAGGCGAUCUCCUUGCCCUUGCAAACUCCUUGGUUCAACUCAACAAUCUUGUCGGAGCCUCCCAAGUGACACCUAGCCAAUCUAGGAGACACCACUCUCCAAGAAGUAACAAAUGGUGUGUUGAUGAUGAACUCCUUGCUCUUGUGCUUCAAAUGAUAGUCUUCCCAACACUCAACUCUCUCUCACAGGAUUUGGAUUUGGUGGAAAGAAGAUUUGAGUGGAAAGCAACUUGGGGAAGGCUAGAGAUCAAGAUUCAUAUGGUUGGAAUGGAAUAUCUUGACCUCAACACAAGUGUAGGUGGUUCUCUCUCAGAAAAUGUGUAUUGGAAGUGUAGGUAUGUUCUGAUGGCUCUCUCCACGAAUGAAGAGUGGGUGGAGGGGUAUAUAUAGCCUCCACACAAAAUCUAACCGUUACACACAAUUUGCCAAACUCGGUGGGACCGAAUGGUUAAACUCGGUCGGACCGAUUCAGCAAACCUAGUGACCGUUAGGAUUUUUGGUGGGACUAAGAUGCAACUCGGUAGGACCGAUAUGGUUAGGGUUAGGGCAUAACGUAAUCUCGGUGUGACCGAUUACACAAACUCGGUGGGACCGAUUUUGGUAAUAAGCUAACCAGAGAGUUGGUCAGGUAAACUCGGCGAGACCGAUUCGCUCAUCUCGGUGAGACCGAAGUGUUACAAAAGGGAAACAUAGAGUUUACAUUGCAAUCUCGGUGGGACCGAUCGCUCAUCUCGGUAAGACCGAAACGUUACGAAGGGAAACAAAGAGAUUACAAUCCCAUCUCGGUGAGACCGAGAUCCCUAUCGGUGAGACCGAUUUGCCUAGGGUUUGUGGCAGUGGCUAUGACAUUUGAAACUCGGUGGCACCGGAUAGAAAGAAUCGGUGGGGCCGAGUUUGACUUUUGGUUUAGGUCAUAUGUGGAUGUGGGAAGGUAGUUGAGGAUUUUGGAGCAUAUCACUAAGCAUUUUGAGAAAGCAAGCCAUUAAGCAACACCUCAUCCCUCCUUGAUAGUAUUGGCUUUUCCUAUAGACUCAAUGUGAUCUUGGAUCACUAAAAUAUAAAAUGUAGAGUCUUGAGCUUCAAGCUUGAGCCAAAUUUUUUGCCUUAGAAUUUUGAGGGAUCCACUUUCCUCAUCCAUGCCAUGCCAUUCAUUGAGCUUUUCCUGAAAUAUUAAUCUUGGAAUAAUGUUAGCUCAAUGAGCUAUAUGUUGUUAGGAAUUACCAAAACCACCCAGGGAUAGUUGCACUUUCAGACGUCACUGAGCUGAACGUGUGCAGAUCGGGGGAGGUGACAUACUUUCGGUGCUAGGAUCGGUCGGAUCAUGAAGACGUUCGACUACAUCAACCGUGUUGUCAUAACGCUUCCGCUUCCGGUCUACGAGGGUACAUGGACACCACUCUUCCCCUCUCGUUGCUAUGCAUCACCUAGAUAGAUCUUGCGUGUGCGUAUAAUUUUUUUAGAAAUACGUUACCCAACAGUUGUAUCCGAGCCAGGUAUAUGCGCAUAUGUUAUAUGCAUGAGUAGAACACAAAGGAGUUGUGGGCGUGGGUAUAUACAUAUUGCUUGCCGUCACUAGUUGUUUCUUGAUUCGGCGGUAUUGUUGGAUGAAGCGGCUGAUACGUCUCCGACGUAUCUACUUUUCCAAACACUUUUGCCCUUGUUUUGGACUCUAACUUGCAUGAUUUGAAUGGAACUAACCCGGACUGACGCUGUUUUCAACAGAAUUGCUAUGGUGUUAUUUAUGUGCAGAAACAAAAGUUCUCGGAAUGACCUGAAACUUCACGGAACACCUUUUCAGAAAAUAUAAAAAAUCCUUGCAAAAGGUGAAGACCAGGGGGCACCACCUGUCCACGAGGGUGGGGGUGCGCCUGCCUCCCUAGGGCAUGCCCCCCUACCUCGUGGGCCCCCUGGAGCUCCUCCGACCUCAGCCCCAAGUCUAUAGAUUUGCUUUUGGGGAGAAAAAAUAAAAGAGAAGAAUUCAUCGCGUUUUACGAUACGGAGCCGCCGCCAAGCCCUAAAGCCUCUCGGGAGGGCUGAUCUGGAGUCCGUUAGGGGCUCCGGAGAGGGGAAUCCGUCGCCAUCGUCAUCAUCAACCAUCCUCCAUCACCAAUUUCAUGAUGCUCACCGCCGUGCGUGAGUAAUUCCGUCGUAGGCUUGCUGGACGGUGAUGGGUUGGAUGGGAUCUAUCAUGUAAUCGAGUUAGUUUUGUUAGGGUUUGAUCCCUAGUAUCCACUAUGUUCUGAGAUUGAUGUUGCUAUGACUUUGCUAUGCUUAAUGCUUGUCACUAGGGCCCGAGUGCCAUGAUUUCAGAUCUGAACCUAUUAUGUUUUCAUCAAUAUAUGAGAGUUCUUGAUCCUAUCUUGCAAGUCUAUAGUCACCUAUUAUGUGUUAUGAUCCGUUAACCCCGAAGUGACAAUAAUCGGGAUACGUACCGGUGAUGACCGUAGUUUGAGGAGUUCAUGUAUUCACUAUGUGCUAAUGCUUUGUUCUGGUACUCUAUUAAAAGGAGGCCUUAAUAUCCCUUAGUUUCCAUUAGGACCCCGCCACGAGAGGGUAGGACAAAAGAUGUCAUGCAAGUUAUUUUCCAUAAGCAUGUAUGACUAUAUUCGGAAUACAUGCCUACAUUACAUCGAUGAAUUGGAGCUAGUUCUGUGUCACCCUAGGUUAUGACUGUUACAUGAUGAACCGCAUCCGGCAUAAUUCUCCAUCACUGAUCCAUUACCUACAAGCUUUCCAUAUAUUGUUCUUCACUUAUUUACUUUUUCGUUGCUAUUGCUAUCAUCACUACAAAAUACCAAAAACAUUACUUUUACUAUCAUUACCUUUUGCUACCGUUACCACUACUAUCAUGUUACUUUGCUACUAAAUACUUUGCUGCAGAUAUUAAGUUUCCAGGUGUGGUUGAAUUGACAACUCAGCUGCUAAUACUCGAGAAUAUUCUUUGGCUCCCCUUGUGUCAAAUCAAUAAAUUUGGGUUGAAUACUCUACCCUCGAAAACUGUUGCGAUCCCCUGUACUUGUGGGUUAUCAAGACUAUUUUCUGGCGCCGUUGCCGGGGAGCAUAGCUCUAUUCUUUGAGUCACUUGGGAUUUAUAUCGGCUUAUCAUUAUGAAGAACUUGAGAGAUCCAAAAACCAAGAUUUAUCCCUCAACUACGAGGGGAGGUAAGGAACUGCCAUCUAGCUUUGCACUUGAUUCACCUUCUGUUUUGAGUAAGCUUGAGACACCUAAACCUGCUUUUGUUAUUCGUUCUGAUAUGUCGCAUGUUAUUGAUGAUGCCACUUCUGCUAUGCAUGAUACUUAUGAUGAAACUACUUCUAUGAUUGAUACUACUGUGCCACUUGGUGCAUUUCUUGAUGAACAACUUGCUAGGGCUAGAGAGAAUGGAAAUAUUGAAUCUGAUAAUACCGAUGAAAGUGAUGAUGAAGAUUCACCUGUUAUUCCUAAGGGUUAUGUUUUUGAUAAAGAAGCUUCUUUAGCUAUUUUAGCUUGCAAAGAUAGAUACGAACUUAAGACGUUAUUAGCUAAAUGGAAUAAGCAAUCUCUAAAUGCUAGAAUGAAACCUGGCCCUGCUUUUGCUACUUCACCUAUCUGUGUUACCGAUAAUGAUUAUGAAUUCUCGGUUGAUCCUGAUAUAAUUACUUUGGUUGAAUCUGAUCCUUUUCAUGGCUAUGAAUCUGAAACUGUUGUGGCACAUCUUACUAAAUUAAAUGAUAUAGCCACCCUGUUCACUAAAGAUGAGAGAACUCGCUACUUUUAUAUCCUUAAAAUAUUUCCGUUCUCAUUAAAGGGUGAUGCUAAGAUAUGGUCUAAUUCUCUUGAUCCUGGUUGUGUGCGUAGUCCCCAGGAUAUGAUUUAUUACUUCUCUGCUAAAUAUUUCCCUGCUCAUAAGAAACAAGCUGCUUUAGGGGAUAUAUAUAAUUUUGUGCAAAUUGAAGAAGGGAGUCUCCCACAAGCUUGGGGGAGGCUUCUCAAAUUACUUAAUGCUUUGCCUGAUCAUCCUCUUAAGAAAAAUGAAAUACUUGAUAUCUUUUAUAAUGGACUAGCCGAUGCUUCCAGAGAUUACCUGGAUAGUUGUGCUAGUUCUGUUUUCAGGGAAAGAACACCGGAUGAAGCUGAAAUUCUAUUGAAUAAUAUGUUGACAAAUGAAAAUAAUUGGACACUUCCUGAACCAGUUCCUGAUCCAGUUCCUGAACCAACUCAUGAGCUAAUUCCUAAACCAACUCCGAAGAAGAGGGGUAUUCUAUUUCUCAGUCCUGAAGAUAUGCAUGAGGCAAAGAAACCUAUGAAAGAAAAAGGUAUUAAAGUUGAAGAUGUUAAGAAUUUACCUCCUAUUGAAGAAAUACAUGGUCUUAAUUUACCGCCUAAUGAAGAAACAUAUGAUCGUAAUCCAUUACCUAUUGAAGAAACUCAUGGCCUUGAGAACCCGACACAGGUAGUAAAGGUAAAUUCUCUCUAUAGAUAUGAUAAAGCUAAAAUCCCAUUUACAAAGUUUGCUAGCCCAUGCUUAGAUGAGUUUGAUAAAUUUAUGGCUAAGCAAGAAGACUUCAAUGCUUAUUUUCGUAGACAAUUGAAAUACAAUUCAAAUAUGCUUGAACACUUGGGUGAUUAUAUGGCUAAUGUUAAAGGUGAACUUAAACUUAUUAGUAAACAUGCUUCUAUGGUUACCACUCAAGUAGAACAAGUACUUAAAGCUCAAAAUGAUUUGCUCAAUGAAUUGAAUAGUAACAAUAAUGAUAAUGUUGUUAGAGUUAUGACUAGAGGUGGUAAAAUGACUCAGGAACCUUUGUAUCUUGAAGGCCAUCCUAAAAGGAUUGAGAAAGAUUCUCAGAGAAAUAAUAUAGAUGCACCUAGUCCUUCUAAUAGGAAGAAAAAGAAAAAUGAUAGGACUUUAAAUGCUUCUAGUAAACCUAUUACUGAAACACCUGAGAAUCCAAAUGAUAUUUCUAUUUCUGAUGCUGAAACACAAUUUGGUAAUGAACCUGAAACUAGUGAUAAUGUUAAUGAUAAUGUUCAUGAUGAUGCUCAACCUAGUAAUGAUAAUGAUAUAGAAAUUGAACCUGUUGUUGAUCCUGAUAACCCAUAAUUAAAGAAUCAAUGUUAUGAUAAGAAAGACUUUGUUGCUAGGAAACACGGUAAGGAAAGAGAGCCCUGGGUUCAGAAACCCAUGCCUUUUCCUCCCAAACCAUCUAAGAAAAAGGAUGAUGAGGAUUUUGAGCGCUUUGCUGAAAUGAUUAGACCUUGAGAUUAACUGAUAUGCUUAAAAUGAAUCCUUAUGCUAAGUAUAUGAAAGAUAUUGUUACUAAUAAAAGAAAGAUACCAGCAGCUGAAAUUUCCACCAUGCUUGCUAAUUAUACUUUUGAGGGUGGAAUACCAAAGAAACUUGGAGAUCCAGGAGUACCCACUAUACCAUGCUCUAUUAAAAGAAACGAUGUUAAAACUGCUUUAUGUGAUCUUGGAGUCGGUGUUAGUGUUAUGCCUCUCUCUUUAUAUCGUAGACUUGAUUUGAAUAAGUUGACACCUACUGAAAUAUCUUUGCAAAUGGCUGAUAAAUCAACUACUAUACUUGUCGGUAUUUGUGAGGAUGUGCCUGUUGUAGUUGCAAACGUUACUAUUUUAACGGACUUUGUUAUUCUUGAUAUUCCCGAGGACGAUAGUAUGUCUAUUAUUCUUGGAAGACCCUUUUUGAAUACUGCAGGGGCUGUUAUUGAUUGCACUAAAGGCAAUGUCACUUUUCAUGUCAAUGGUAAUGAGCAUACGGUACACUUUCCGAGGAAACAACCUCAAGUCCACAGUAUCAAUUCUAUUGGAAAAAUUCCAUCGGUUAUAUUUGGAGGUUUUGAAUUUCCUCUUCCUCCUGUCAAGAAGAAAUAUGAUAUUCUUAUUAUUGGGGAUGUACAUAUCCCCGUUGAGGUAACAUAGUGUUAUUCGAAAUUUCUCCGGUUCCAUGCUAUUCGGAAAGAGUUCGUUAACAAGACUUGAUCAACCUUGUUAGUGGAUUCCUUUUGAUGAGCAUGAGAUGGAUGAAACUAGAAGGCACAACAUUCUGUACCCCACUUUUACUUUCUGUUAUUUAUAUUAAAUAAAAUAAAAAUAGUAUUUUCUGUCUGUUAUCUGAAUUAUCCGUGCAAUAUAAAAAUACCCCGAAAAUAAAAGUUCUCCAAAUGCCCUAAAAUUUAAAUAUGAUUUUUUUUCUAGAAUAUUUGAGAAUAUUUGGCACUAAGAACACAUCAGGAGGAGCUGGCACCUGGCUAUGAGGGUCAGGGGUGCGCCCUACCCCCCUGGGCGCACCCCUGCCUUGUGGGCCCAUGGUGGCCCUCCUCCACUUAUUCCUGCACCCACACACUUCUUCUUCCUCCUACAAACACGAAUAUCCAGCUCAAGCACGAGUUCUAGCUCAUUUUGCUACCAUUUUCGAUCUCCUUGCUCAAAGCACCUCUCACAAAACUGCUUGGGGAGAUUGUUCCUUGGUAUGUGACUCCUUCGUUGGUCCAAUUAGUUUUUUUCUAGUUCUUUAUUCAUUGCAGACCAUGUUCUUGAGCUUGCAUGUCAAAUUUAUAUGGUUCCAAGUAGUUUUGAUGCAUGAUAUAGGCUCUAGGCACUUGUAUGAGUAGUUGCUAUCAAUAUUAUUGAGUUUGGUUCACUUUUUAUUUUUGAAGUUACUAAAUUUUUUAGAAUUUUUCAGAAAAUGAUGAAGAGAUUUUUGAGGGGCUCAUCGAGCCAAAGCUCAAGGGAAAAGCAAAAUGAAGAGGCACAGAAGCCUAAGUAUAAUCUGCCUCGCACCGCGGAGGUUAGGCCGUGUGAAUGGCCCUCCGAUGAUUUCUUGAGAGCCACCGAGAUUUAUAAGGAUUUUUAUGAAUUGGCUAAUAAUGCAGGCCUCACCGACUUCCUCCACGACCAACGCGAACAGUAUCUCUUACUCACCAAUACUUUUGUGCAAAACUUCUACUAUUAUCCUAGGGAAUCACCUCCUUUAGUAGAGUUUCAUUUAUAUGAUGUGGUUAAGAAGAUGUCACUUUAUGAUUUUUGUCGGGUUUGCUUGAUCCCUUUCGAGGGAAAAAUAGAGGAACCACAUCAUGACGAUGUGGAUGGGUUUAUUGAUACCAUCACUAUAGGGGAAACGAGGAAGGUUUCCGAUGCACGAAUCACUAGCAUACAUUUUCCUGUUUUACGCUACUUUGCAAUAUUCGCUAGUCGUUGCUUAAUUGGUCAUGGAAACUAUGGAAAUCUUAGUGUUCCUGAUAUUAUUAUUUUGUUCCAUGGUUUAUUCUGUGAUAACUCUGUGAGUAUGGGCGGUAUUAUUGCUAAACAGUUGAGUCUGAACCGUACAAAGGGCCCCAUCUUUGGUGGUAUUUAUGCUUCACGCCUAGCUGCACAUUUUAACAUACCUAUUAGGCAUUAUGAGAAGGAAGAAAAAUUGUUGCCUCGUGUUUAUUUAGAUUAUAAGAGUAUGGUAGCACAUGAUUUCAUUAUAAAGAAUAGGGAAGGGGAGCUUAAAUACAAAUUGUUCUUUGAUAAACAUCAUCCGAAGACUAUUACCUUGCUUGCUCCUUCCUUGUUUGAUUUAUCUGCAGGCCAGUACCUCGUCUCGCCGGAGGACAUUCACGCCUACCGGAACCCUGCACCAGACAUAGAGCCAGAGUCGGAACCACCAGUUGAUCCUCCACGACAGUCUAAUUACCAGUGGGAUCCGGAGAUGAUUGCCAACCAGUGGCAGUCAGAGUCUUCUUCUUCGCAGUACAACCCCAACUAUUAUUAUGGAUAUCUGCCAGGCCAGCUGUGGCCAUAGACCAACUUAGGCCAAAAGCCUAAGCUUGGGGGAGUACGUAUUUCCCACCGACAUUACAUUUAUGUUCACACACUCAUUGCUAGAUGUCGGUGCUCAUACGUUUUCAUUGUAUCAUCCAUGCUAGUUUAUCUCCUUUUUAUGCUUUCUUCUUGUGUGUUUAAUAAACCUUAAGAAAAAACCAAAAGAUUAGUGGUAGCUUGAGUUAGUUUACUUUCCAUGCUUGUAGUAGUAAUUAAAAAGAAAACCCAAAAAGAUUUCAUGUUCUUCUUUUACUUGUUGGGAGCUUUCCCGUGUAAAUAGUUUUAUUUCUUUUCUUUUCUUUGGGGGUCGAUAGGAGAAGACCAUAAUUAAAUUAUUGAAGUGGAUCUUAUAUGCAUUAUUGUUAAUCUGACAAAAGAGCCCAUAUUGCCUUGUCUUCUCCUGUUUAUUGAAUGCUUGCAGAUUCCAGCUUAGUCCAAUGCACGCGCACUAUUAUUAUUAUUCACAUCGUUCGGUCAUGCAAGUGAAAGGCAAUUAUGACGAUAUAUGAUGGACUGACUGAGAUGAGAAAGGCUACUAUGAACUCGACCUCUUUUGUUUUGUAAAUAUGAUUAGUUCAUCAUUCCUGAUUCAGCCUAUUAUGAAUAAACAUGUUUGCAAUGACAACUAUAAAUCAUAGUUUCUUGUGUCAUGCUUGAUUAGCUAUGAGUUAUAAUGGUUUACCUUGCGUGCCAACAUGCUAUUAAAAUGGUUGUGAUGUGGUAUGAUAGGGUGGUAUCCUCCUCUGAAUGAUUUAAGUGACUUGACUUGGCACAUGUUCACGCAUGUAGUUGAAACAAAAUCAACAUAGCCUUCAUGAUAUUUAUGUUCAUGGUGGAUUAUAUCCUACUCAUGCUUGCAUUCGGUGUUGAUUAAUUCUAAUGCAUGUUCAUGACUGUUGUCGCUCUCUAGCUGGUCGCUUCCCACUCUUUUGCUAGCCUUCACCUGUACUAAGCGGGAAUACUGCUUGUGCAUCCAAUCCCAUAAACACCAAAGUUAUUCCAUAUGAGUCCACCAUACCUACUUAUAUACGGUAUCUACCUGCCGUUCCAAGUAAAUUUGUAUGUGCCAAACUCUAAACCUUCAAAUAAAUAUCAUGUUUUGUAUGCUCGAAUAGCUCAUGUAUCAACUAUGGCUGUCCGUAUCUUCCAUGUUAGGCGGGUUAUUCUCAAGAGGAGUGAACUCCGCUCCUCACUCACGAGAAAAUGGCUGGUCACCUGGAUGCCCAAUCCCAUGCUUUAUGCAAAUCAAAUCAAAAUAAUUGCAAACAAAACUCCCCCUGGGACUCUUGUUAGUUGGAGGCACUCAUUGUUUCGAGCAAACCAUGGAUUGAUGCUUGUUGGUGGAGGGGGAGUAUAAACUUUACCAUUCUGUUUGGGAACCGCCUAUAAUGUGUGUAGCAUGGAAGAUAUCGCCAUCUCUUGGUUGUUAUGUUGACAAUGAAAGUAUACCGCUCAAAAUAUUAUUCAUCUCUAUUUCAAAACCGAGCGCUAGCGCCUCUACAAAUCCCUGCUUCCCUCUGCGAAGGGCCUAUCUAUUUACUUUUAUGCUGAGUCAUCAUCCUCUUAUUAAAAAGCACUAGUUGGAGAGCACCACUGUCAUUUGCAUUCAUUAUUGUUAGUUUACAUUGAGUAUGACUUGACUGGAUCUCUUUUACCAUGAAUUACAAUGUCUAGUCAGUCCUUGGUCUUUAAAGGUGCUCUGCAUUUAUGUUUUGCGGUCUCAGAAAGCGCUAGCGAGAUACCAUUUUGUUAUAUCAUAUUAUGAUUGUUUUGAGAAAGUGUUGUCAUCCGAGAUUUAUUAUUAUUGCUUGCUAGUUGAUUAUGCCAUUAAUAUGAGUGAACUUGAGACCUAAGCAUUAUUGUGAAUGUGGUUAGUCAUAAUCUUUGCUGAAAACUUGAAUGCUGGCUUUACAUAUUUACAACAACAAGAGCAAACAGAGUUUGUAAAAGUUUUUCCUUAUCACUUUCAGUUUGUCAACUGAAUUGCUUGAGGACAAGCAAAGGUUUAAGCUUGGGGGAGUUGAUACGUCUCCGACGUAUCUACUUUUCCAAACACUUUUGCUCUUGUUUAGGACUCUAACUUGCAUGAUUUGAAUGGAACUAACCCAGAUUGACGUUGUUUUCAGCAGAAUUGCUAUGGUGUUAUUUAUGUGCAGAAACAAAAGUUCUCGGAAUGACCUGAAACUUCACGAAACACCUUUUUGGAAAAUAUAAAAAAUCCUUGCAAAAGAUGAAGACCAGGGGGCCCACCACCUGUCCACGAGGGUGGGGGCGCGCCUGCCUCCCUAGGGCGCGCCCCCCUACCUUGUGGGCCCCUGGAGCUCCUCCGACCUCAACCCCAAGUCUAUAUAUUUUCUUUCGGGGAGAAAAAAUAAAAGAGAAGAAUUCAUCGCGCUUUACGAUACGAAGCCGCCGCCAAGCCCUAAAACCUCUCGGGAGGGCUGAUCUGGAGUCCGUUCGGGGCUCCGGAGAGGGGAAUCCGUCGCCAUCGUCAUCAUCAACCAUCCUCCAUCACCAAUUUCAUGAUGCUCACCGCCGUGCGUGAGUAAUUCCAUCGUAGACUUGCUGGACGGUGAUGGGUUGGAUGGGAUCUAUCAUGUAAUCGAGUUAGUUUUGUUAGGGUUUGAUCCCUAGUAUCCACUAUGUUAUGAGAUUGAUGUUGCUAUGACUUUCCUAUGCUUAAUGCUUGUCACUAGGGCCCAAGUGCCAUGAUUUCAGAUCUGAACUAUUAUGUUUUCAUCAAUAUAUGAGAGUUCUUGAUCCUAUCUUGCAAGUCUAUAGUCACCUAUUAUGUGUUAUGACCCGUUAACCCCGAAGUGACAAUAAUUGGGAUACUUACCGGUGAUGACCGUAGUUUGAGGAGUUCAUGUAUUCACUAUGUGCUAAUGCUUUGUUCCAGUACUCUAUUAAAAGGAGGCCUUAAUAUCCCUUAGUUUCCAUUAGGACCCCGCUGCCACGGGAGGGUAGGACAAAACAUGUCAUGCAAGUUCUUUUCCAUAAGCACGUAUGACUAUAUUCGGAAUACAUGCCUACAUUACAUCGAUGAAUUGGAGCUAGUUUUGUGUCACCCUAGGUUAUGACUGUUACAUGAUGAACCGCAUCCGGCAUAAUUCUCCAUCACUGAUCCAUUGCCUACGAGCUUUCCAUAUAUUGUUCUUCGCUUAUUUACUUUUCCGUUGCUAUUGCUAUCAUCACUACAAAAUACCAAAAACAUUACUUUUACUAUCAUUACCUUUUGCUACUGUUACCACUACUAUCAUAUUGCUUUGGUACUAAAUACUUUGCUGCAGAUAUUAAGUUUCCAGGUGUGGUUGAAUUGACAACUCAGCUACUAAUACUCGAGAAUAUUCUUUGGCUCCCCUUGUGUUGAAUCAAUAAAUUUGGGUUGAAUACUCUACCCUCGAAAACUGUUGCGAUCCCCUAUACUUGUGGGUUAUCAGCGGCCCAGACUGGCAUUACGCGUACGGUUACGUGAGACUGGUUCUACCGACGUGUUUCACACACAGGUGGCUGGUGGGUGUCAGUUUCUCCAACUUUAGUUGAAUCGGAUUCAAUGAACAGGGUUCUUUCUGAAGAUCAAAAAGCAAUCACUAUACCACAUUGUGGUUUUUGAUGCGUAGGUAAGAUCGGUUCUUGCUCAGCUCAUAGCAGCCACGUAAAACUUGCAACAACAAAGUAGAGGAUGUCUAACUUGUUUUGGCAGGGCAUGUUGUGAUGUGAUAUGGUCAAGACAUGAUGCUAAAUUUUAUUGUAUGAGAUGAUCAUUUUUUGUAACAGAGUUAUCUGCAACUGGCAGGAGCCAUAUGGUUGUUGCUUUAUUGUAUGAAAGCAAUCGCCAUGUAAUUGCUUUACUUUAUCACUAAGCGGUAGCGAUAGUCGUAGAAGCAAUAGUUGGCGAGACGACAACGAUGCUUUGAUGGAGAUCAAGGUGUCAAGCCGGUGAUGAUGGUGAUCAUGACGGUGCUUUGGAGAUGGAGAUCAAAGGCACAAGAUGAUGAUGGCCAUAUCACAUCACUUAUAUUAAUUGCAUGUGAUGUUUAUCCUUUAUGCAUCUUAUUUUGCUUAGUUCGGCGGUAGCAUUAUAAGAAGAUCUCUCACUGAAUUUCAAGGUAUAAGUGUUCUUCCUGAGUAUGACCGUUGCUACAGUUUGUCAUGCUGAGACACCACGUGAUGAUCGGGUGUGAUAAGCUCUACGUUCACAUACAACGGGUGCAAGCCAGUUUUGCACACGUGGAAUACUCGGGUUAAACUUGACGAGCCUAGCAUAUGCAGAUAUGGCCUCAGAACACUGAGACCAAGAUCGAGCGUGAAUCAUAUAGAAGAUAUGAUAAACAUAGUGAUGUUCACCAUUGAAAACUACUCCAUCUCACGUGAUGAUCGGACAUGGUUUAGUUGAUAUGGAUCACGUGAUCACUUAGAUGAUUAGAGAGAUAUCUAUCUAAGUGGGAGUUCUUAAGUAAUUUGAUUAAUUGAACUUUAAUUUAUCAUGAACUUAGUACCUGAUAGUAUUUUGCAUAUCUAUGUUGUUGUAGAUAGAUGGCCCGUGCUGUUGUUCCAUUGAAUUUUAAUGUGUUCCUAGAGAAAGCUAAGUUGAAAGAUGAUGGUAGAAACUACACGGACUGGGUCUGUAACUUGAGAAUUAUCCUCAUUGCUGCACAGAAUAAUUAUGUCCUGGAAGCACCGCUAGGUGACAAACCCGCUGCAGGAGUAACGCCAGAUGUUGUGAACACCUGGCAGAGCAAAGCCGAUGACUACUCGAUAGUUUAGUGUGCCAUGCUUUACGGCUUAGAACCAGGACUUCAACGACGUUUUGAACGUCAUGGAGCAUAUGAGAUGUUCCAGGAGUUGAAGUUAAUAUUUCAAGAAAAUGCCCAGAUUGAGAGAUAUGAAGUCUCCAAUAAGUUCUACAGCUGCAAAAUGGAGGAGAAUAGUUCUGUCAGUGAACAUAUACUCGGAAUGUCUGGGUACCACAACCACUUGACUCAGUUGGGAGUUAAUCUCCCUGAUGAUAGUGUUAUUGAUGGAGUUCUUUAAUCACUGCCACCAAGCUACAAGAGCUUUGUGAUGAACUAUAAUAUGCAAGGGAUGGAUAAGACGAUUCCUGAGCUCUUCGCAAUGCUAAAGGCUGCGGAGGUAGAAAUUAAGAAGGAGCAUCAAGUGUUGAUGGUCAACAAGACCACCAGUUUCAAGAAAAAGAGUAAACGGAAGAAGGGGAACUUGAAGAAGAACAGCAAGCCAGUUGCUGCCCAAGUGAAGAAACCCAAGUCUGAACCUAAGCCUGAGACUGAGUGCUUCUACUGCAAAGGAACUGGUCACUGGAAGCAGAACUGCCCCAAGUAUUUGGCGGAGAAGAAGGAUGGCAAAGUGAAAGGUAUAUUUGAUAUACAUGUUAUAGAUGUGUACCUUACUAAUGCUCACAGUAGUGCCUGGGUAUUUGAUACUGGUUCAGUUGCUAACAUUUGCAACUCGGAAUAGGGGCUACGGAUUAAGCGAAGAUUGGCUAAGGACAAGGUGACGAUGCACGUGGGAAAUGGUUCCAACGUCGAUGUGAUCGUCGUCGGCACGCUACCUCUACAUCUACCUUCGGGGUUAGUUUUAGACCUAAAUAACUGUUAUUUGGUGCCAGCGUUGAGCAUGAGCAUUAUAUCUGGAUCUUGUUUGAUAGAAGAUGAUUAUUCAUUUAAAUCAAAGAAUAAUGGUUGUUCUAUUUAUAUGAGUAAUAUCUUUUAUGGUCAUGCACCCUUGAUGAGUGGUCUAUUUUUACUAAAUCUUGAUAGUAGUGAUACACAUGUUCAUAGUAUUGAAGCCAAAAGAUGCAGAGUUGAUAAUGAUAGUGCAACUUAUUUGUGCCACUGCCGUUUCGGUCAUAUUGGUGUAAAGCGCAUGAAGAAACUCCAUUCUGAUGGACUUCUGGAAUCACUUGAUUAUGAAUCACUUGGUACUUGCGAACCAUGCCUCAUGGGCAAGAUGACUAAAACUCUGUUCUCCAGAACAAUGAAGCGAGCAACAGAGUUAUUGGAAAUCAUACAUACUGAUGUAUGUCGUCCAAUGAACAUUGAGGCUCGCGGCGGAUAUCGUUAUUUUCUCACCUUCGCAGAUGAUUUGAGCAGAUAUGGGUAUAUCUACUUAAUGAAACAUAAGUCUGAAACAUUUGAAAAGUUCAAAGAAUUUCAGAGUGAAGUGGAAAAUGAUCGUAACAAUAAAGUAAAGUUUCUACGAUCUGAUCGUGGAGGAGAAUAUUUGAGUCAUGAGUUUGGUCUUCAUUUCAAACAAAGCAGAAUAGUUUCGGAACUCAUGCCACCUGGAACACCACAACGUAAUGGUGUGUCUGAACGUCGUAACCACACUUUAUUAGAUAUGGUGCGAUCUAUGAUGUAUCUCACUGAUUUACCGCUAUCGUUUUGGGGUUAUGCUUUAGAGACGACUACAUUCAUGUUAAAUAGGGCACCAUCAAAAUCCAUUGAGACGACACCUUAUGAACUGUGGUUUGGCAAGAAACCCAAGUUGUCGUUUCUUAAAGUUUGGGGCUGCGAUGCUUAUGUGAAAAAGCUUCAACCUGAUAAGCUCGAACCAAAUUCGGAUAAAUGUGUCUUCAUAGGAUACCCAAAGGAGACUGUUGGGUACACCUUCUAUCAUAGAUCUGAAGGCAAGUUAUUCAUUGCUAAGAAUGGAUCCUUUCUAGAGAAGGAGUUUCUCUUGAAAGAAGUAAGUGGGAGGAAAGUAGAACUUCACGAGGUAAUUGUACCUUCUCCCUUAUUGGAAAGUAGUUCAUCACUGAAAUCAGUUCCAGUGAUUCCUACACCAGUAAGAGAGGAAGCUAAUGAUGAUGAUCAUGAAACUUUUGAUCAAGUUACUACCGAACCUCGUAGGUCAACCAGAGUAAGAUCCGCACUAGAGUGGUACGGUUAUCCUGUUCUAGAAGUCAUGUUACUUGACCAUGACGAACCUACAAACUAUGAGGAAGCGAAGAUGAGCCCAGAUUCCGAAAAAUGGCUUGAGGCCAUGAAAUCUGAGAUGGGAUCCAUGUAUGAGAACAAAGUAUGGACUUUGGUUGACUUGCCCGAUGAUAGGCAAGCCAAAGAGAAUAAAUGGAUCUUUAAGAAGAAGACUGACGCUGACGGUAAUGUUACUGUCUACAAAGCUCGACUUGUUGCAAAAGGUUUUCGACAAGUUCAAGGAGUUGACUACGAUGAGACCUUCUUAACCGUAGCGAUGCUUAAGUCCGUCUGAAUCAUGUUAGCAAUUGCCGCAUUUUAUGAUUAUGAAAUUUGGCAAAUGGAUGUCAAAACUGCAUUCUUUAAUGGAUAUCUUAAAGAAGAGUUGUAUAUGAUGCAACCAGAAGGUUUUGUCGAUCCAAACGGUGCUAACAAAGUGUGCAAGCUCCAGCGAUCCAUUUAUGGACUGGUGCAAGCCUCUCGGAGUUGGAAUAUAUGCUUUGAUAGUGUGAUCAAAGCAUAUGGUUUUAUACAAACUUUUGGAGAAGCAUGUAUUUACAAGAAAGUGAGUGGGAUCUCUAUAGCAUUUCUUAUAUUAUAUGUAGAUGACAUAUUGCUGACCGGAAAUGAUACUAAAUUUAUGAAUAGCAUAAAAGGAUAGUUGAAUAAGAAUUUUUCAAUGAAAUACCUCGGUGAAGGUGCUUAUAUAUUGGGCAUCAAGAUCUAUAGAGAUAGAUCAAGACGCUUAAUUGGACUUUCACAAAGCACAUACCUUGAUAAAGUUUUGAAGAAGUUCAAAAUGGAUCAAGCAAAGAAAGGGUUCUUGCCUGUGUUCCAAGAUGUGAAGUUGAGUCAGACUCAAUGCCCGACCACUACAGAAGAUAGAGAGAAAAUGAAAUCCAUUCCCAAUGCUUCAGCCAUAGGUUCUAUCAUGUAUGCAAUGUUGUGUCCCAGACCUGAUGUGUGCCUUGCUAUUAGUUUAGCAGGGAGGUACCAAAGUAAUCCAGGAGUGGAUCACUAGACAGCGGUCAAGAACAUCCUGAAAUACCUGAAAAGGACUAAGGAUAUGUUUCUCAUUUAUGGAGGUGACAAAGAGCUCGUCGUAAAUGGUUACGUCGAUGCAAGCUUUGACAUUGAUCUGGAUGACUCUAAGUCACAAACCGGAUACGUAUUUUUAUUAAAUGGUGGAGCUGUCAGUUGGUGCAGUCCCAAGCAGAGCGUCGUGGCGGGAUCUACAUGUGAAGCGGAGUACAUAGCUGCUUCGGAAGCAGCAAAUGAAGGAGUCUGAAUGAAGGAGUUCAUAUCCGAUCUAGGUGUCAUACCUAGUGCAUCGGGUCCAAUGAAAAUCUUUUGUGACAAUACUGGUGCAAUUGCCUUGGCAAAGGAAUCCAAAUUUCACAAGAGAACCAAGCACAUCAAGAGACGCUUCAAUUCCAUCCACGAGCAAGUCAAGGAGGGAGACAUAAAUAUUUGCAAGAUACAUAUGGAUCUGAAUGUUGCAUACCCGUUGACUAAGCCUCUCUCACGAGCAAAACAUGAUCAGCACCAAGACUCCAUGGCUGUUAGAAUCAUUACAAUGUAAUCUAGAUUAUUGACUCUAGUGCAAGUGGGAGACUGAAGGAAAUAUGCCCUAGAGGAAAUACUAAAGUUGUUAUUUAUAUUUCCUUAUAUCAUGAUAAAUGUUUAUUAUUCAUGCUAGAAUUGUAUUAACCAGAAACUUAGUACAUGUGUGAAUACAUAGACAAGUAGAGUGUCACUAGUAUGCCUCUACUUGACUAGCUUGUUGAAUCAAUGAUGGUUAUGUUUCCUGACCAUAGACAAGAGUGGUCACUUGAUUAACAGGAUCACAUCAUUAGAGAAUGAUGUGAUUGACUUGACCCAUCCGUUAGCUUAGCACGAUGAUCGUUUAGUUUGUUGCUAUUGCUUUCUCCAUAACUUAUACAUGUUCCUAUGACUAUGAGAUCAUGCAACUCCCAAAUACCGAAGGAACACUUAGUGUGCUAUCAAACGUCACAACGUAACUGGGUGACUAUAAAGAUGCUCUACAGGUGUCUCCGAUGGUGUUUGUUGAGUUGGCAUAGACCGAGAUUAGGAUUUGUCACUCCGAAUAUCGAAGAGGUAUCUCUAGGCCCUCUCGGUAAUGCACAUCACUAUAAGCCUUGCAAGCAAUGUAACUAAUGAGUUAGUUGCGGGAUGGUCCAUUACGAAAUGAGUAAAGAGACUUGCCGGUAACAAGAUUGAACUAGGUAUUGAGAUACCGACGAUCGAAUCUCGGGCAAGUAACAUACCGAUGACAAAGGGAACAGUGUAUGUUGUUGUGCGGUUUGACCGAUAAAGAUCAUCGUAGAAUAUGUAGGAACCAAUAUGAGCAUCCAGGUUCCGCUUUGGUUAUCGACCGGGGAUGAGUCUCGGUCAUGUCUACAUAGUUCUCGAACCCAUAGGGUCCGCACGCUUAAUGUUCGGUGACGAUCGGUAUUAUGAGUUUAUGUGUUUUGAUGUACCGAAGGUAGUUCGGAGUCCCGGAUUUGAUCACGGACAUGACGAGGAGUCUCGAAAUGGUUGAGACAUAAAGAUCGAUAUAUUGGAAGCCUAUAUUUGGACAUUGGAAUGGUUCCGUAUGAGUUCGGGAAUUUUCUGGAGUACCGGGAGGUUACCGGAACCCCCCGGGGAGUAUAUGGGCCUUAUUAGACCUUAGUGGAAUAGAGGAGGGGAAGGGAAAAGGUGGGAGGCGCGCCCCCCUAGCCCAAUCCGAAUUGGGUGGGGGCGGGCCCCCCUUUCCUUCCUUCUCUCCUACUCCUACUACUUGGAAGGGGGAAUCCUACUCCCGAUGGGAGUAGGACUCCCCUAGGGCGUGCCAUAGAGGGCCGGCCCUCCCCCCUCCUCCACUCCUUUAUAUACGAGGAGGGGGCACCCCAUAGACACACAAGUCGAUCAUUGUCUUAACCAUGUGCGGUACCCCCCUCCACCAUAAUCCACCUCGGUCAUAUCGUAGGGGUGCUUAGGCGAAGCCCUGCUCCGGUAGCAUCAUCGUCACCGUCAUCACGCCGUCGUGCUGACGAAACUCUCCCUCGACACUCAACUGGAUCUAGAGUUCAUGGAACGUCACUGAGCUAAACGUGUGCAAAUCGCGGAGGUGGCGUACCUUCGGUGCUAGGAUCGGUCGGAUUGUGAAGACGUUUGACUACAUCAACCGCGUUGUCAUAACUCUUCUGCUUAUGGUCUACGAGGGUACGUGGGCAACACUCUUCCACUCUCGUUUCUAUGCAUCACAUAGAUAGAUCUGGCAUGUGCGUAGGAAUUUUUUUGAAAUUACUGCGUUACCCAACACCUGCCACAAGCUAGUAGUACUUAGUUUCGAGCGUGUAAAGCAGCUCCCCCGGCAGUCCCGGAGCUUGUGUAGUGAAUACUUUCCAAACCCUGCGGGACAAAGAAAACAAUUACUUGAUAUCAAGAAAUGAACAAAGUUGCGGAUAUGGUGCGAUAAUGAUCGAUUGAACUUACUUCUCGAGCAUUUUAGUCAUGUCCGCAUAGUCCUCGGGAUUUUUUCGUCUCAAGUCUAAGACGGUUACUAGUCCCUGCUCAAGCUUAAUCUCUAGGAGAAUAAAGUGGAAGUUGCGCACACAUGCAUAACUCAUCAAUUACAUUACUAUAACCUCGAGUAAUACUGGAAACCAAAUAUGCACAAGACAAUAACACUCACUUGAAGUUGUAAGGAAAGAGUAUUGAUACAUCUCCGUCGUAUCUACUUUUCCAAACACUUUUGCCCUUGUUUUGGACUCUAACUUGUAUGAUUUGAAUGGAACUAACCCGGACUAACGAUGUUUUCAGCAGGAUUGCCAUGAUGUUGUUUUAUGUGCAGAAAACAAAAGUUCUCAGAAUGACCUGAAACUCCACGGAAUAUCUUACAAUAAAUAAUAAAAAAAUCUCGCCAAAGAUGAAGACUAGGGGGCCCAUACCCUUCUCACGAGGGUGGCCCCCCCCUAGGGCGCGCCCCCCUACCUCGUGGGCCCCCUGGAGACCUCCCGACUCCAACUCCAACUCUAUAUAACUGCUUUCGGGGAGAAAAAAAUAGGAGAGAAGAAAUCAUCACGUUUUACGAUACGCAGCCGCCGCCAAGCCCUAAAACCUCUCGGGAGGGCUGAUCUGGAGUCCGUUCGGGGCUCCGGAGAGGGGGAUUCGUCGCCGUCGUCAUCAUCAACCAUCCUCCAUCACCAAUUUCAUGAUGCUCACCGCCGUGCGUGAGUAAUUCCAUCGUAGGCUUGCUGGAGGGUGAUGGGUUGGAUGAGAUUCACCAUGUAAUCGAGUUAGUUUUGUUAGGGUUUGAUCCCUAUUAUCCACUAUGUUCUGAGAUUGAUGUUGCUAUGACUUUGCUAUGCUUAAUGCUUGUCACUAGGGCCCGAGUGCCAUGAUUUCAAAUCUGAACCUAUUAUGUUCUCUUCAAUAUAUGAGAGUUCUAGAUCCUAUCUUGCAAGUCUAUAGUCACCUAUUAUGUGUUAUGAUCCGUUAACCCCGAAGUGACAAUAAUCGGGAUACUUACCGAUGACGACCGUAGUUUGAGGAGUUCAUGUAUUCGCUAUGUGCUAAUGCUUUGUUCCGGUUCUCUAUUAAAAGGAGGCCUUAAUAUCCCUUAGUUUCCAUUAGGACCCCGCUGUCACGGGAGGGUAGGACAAAAUAUGUCAUGCAAGUUCUUUUCCAUAAGCACGUAUGACUAUAUUCGGAAUGCAUGCCUACAUUACAUCGACGAAUUGGAGCUAGUUCUGUGUCACCCUAUGUUAUGACUGUUACAUGAUGAAACACAUCUGGCAUAACUAUUCAUCAUUGAUCCAAUGCCUACGAGCUUUCCGUAUACUGGUUUACGCUUAUUUACUUUCCCGUUGCUAUUGUUACAAUCACUACAAAAUACCAAAAACAUUACUUUGCUUUCAUUACUCUUUUGUUACCAUUACCAUCACUAUCAUAUUACUUUGCUACUAAACACUUUGCUGCAGAUACUAAGUUUCCAGGUGUGGUUGAAUUGACAACUCAGCUGCUAAUACUUGAGAAUAUUCUUUGGCUCCCCUUGUGUCGAAUCAAUAAAUUCAGGUUGAAUACUCUACCCUCGAAAGCUGUUGUGAUCCCCUAUACUUGUGGGUUAUCAAGUAUUUUACCUUUGUUUUGAUUUUGAAGCAACGAUUUUAGCAAGUUGGCCUCGGCUUCUUUGGCAUCAUGUUUAACCGUCCAUUCAUCUAUGAUAUUUGUGUUAAUGAACCCAAUAUCAUAGAUUUCUGCCUUUUUGCAUUCGACGAUCUUCAAUCUGCAUAAUAUAGUAAGGAUAAUUAUAUAUACAUGCAAUGAAAGAGCUGAGCUAUAUAUAGAGACUUAAUUAUAGAAGUAGUACUUACAGUCAGUAGCAAGUGACCAUUAUUUUAUCGAGGGCCUUUUGAUUGAAAAACGGGAAGAACUCCUCAAAUGGAACAGACAACAGAUCAAUUCCAACGAGGUCGUGCUCCUCUUUAACUCUCAAAGUCAAAGUAUCCUGCCCAGACUCGCUGUAGGUUUUCAUGUACCAGUUAUGGAAUCUUCGCAUCAUUGUUGUUACAGGAGGAUGACCAGGUUUGACAAAAGGCUUCCCGUGCCGGUAGUUGAAAUCGUCCACCUCCAUUGUAUCAAAAUGUGCAUCAUCGGGCAGGUAAUCUCCAGGAUUAGUACCAGGCAGCACCCUUGGAUGAUUAGCGACGAUAUAGCUAGGCACCUUGAGCGGGGGGCAUGAUUGGUUAACUUGUCCGCUGAGCUGGGGAAAUGUUUUCCCACUUCUUCCUUCUACUAACCUUUGAUCACUACAAGUACUUCCCGACCGCUCCACUUCGAUAUAUGACCUUUCAAUAAUGCGCUCAUACUUGGUUUUUAGCGGAGACCGUGUGGUCGCUUCAGGGCAUCCAAAGUGCGCUGAACUUUCACCUUAUCUAUCUUCUCCUCCGGAGGUGGAUGUUUCUUAGCUCUUUGUGUUUCAAAGAAGUCCUUCACUUGGGCAGCACAGAUCUUUGCAUUUUCCUCCUUGGUCAUCUCGUAUGGUAACCUCUCUAGAGGCUUGAGAGAUGGAUCGAAUCUGUAUUGCCUCCAGCCUCUGGCUGUAAUGCUAGACGCCGGAGCAGCCGGAGCGGCUGCGGCUGUCUUCUUGCAUUGCUUACGAGGCGGAGAAGAAGGAGGUGGAGUGCUACGACGCGCUGGAGCAGCCGGAGCGGCGGUGGCUGGCUUCCGCUUUUGCUGACGAGGUGGGCUGCUCGGACGCGCCGGCGCGGAAGGAGAAGGAGGCGGAGUGCCGCCACGCAUCGGAGAAGGAGGCGGAGGAGGAGGCGGAGUGCCCUGACUCGCUAGAGGAGGAGGAGGAGGAGGAGGCGGAGGCGGAGGCGUCCAGUUCGGAAGGUUGAUGAGCUCCUUCCGCCAUAGACAUGGAGUCUUCAGAGCAACACCCAGCUGAGUCUCCCCUUCACCGGUAGGGUGGUCAAGCUCGAGGUCCUCAAAUCCCUUUGUUAUUUCAUCCACCAUCACAGCAGCAUAUCCUUCUGGAAUCGGACAGCGAUGAAAAGUUGCGCCGGGUUCAUGAGGUGCAAUAGAGCCGACAGCCUCCUUGACUUUGAAGUUCUGCCAUUGCGUCAUAAGGUGGCAAGGUUGAGCCUUCGUGAUAGCAUCCACGGGGUAGCUAGCAGGAGUCGUGAAGUUAGGCUGCUGAAGGAGCUCGGUGGAAGUCACGCUGCUUCUCUGCUGAGAUGGUGGGGUAGCUUCUGGGGUAGCUCCGACAUGAUGCUGGCUGUCCUUUUCCUCUUGCGCUUGUACCCUUGCAUGCAGCUUCUGUAGUUCGGUCUGCUCCACUUUCCUCUUCCUCUCCCAGGUUUUGUAACCGCGUGCCUCGGGAAACCCAGCCUUCCACAAAACGGAUCCUGGCGUGCCUCGUGUUCGUCCAGGGUGCUCGAGAUUCCCGAGGGCCCGUGUGAGCUCGUCGUUCUCUCUAUUGGGAACGAACGUCCCUUGCUGCGCUGCGGCGAUAUACUCAUGAAGCUUCAUGACGGGUAUAUUCAGUUGCUGGUUCAUCCAACGGCACUUCCCGGUUUCAGGGUCCAAGGUUCCCCCAACCCCGAAGAACCAAGUCCUUGAACGGUCUGGCCAGUGCAAUGUCUCUGGUUCGACCCCUUUAUCAAGCAGGUCAUUCUCAGCCUUGUCCCACAAUGGUUGGACUUUGAGGUAGCCACCUGACCCCGUGUGAUGGUGAAGCUCCUUCUUUGCAGCAUUUUUCUUAUUUGUCGCUGACAUCUUCUUGCUCUUGUCCGAUGUCUUGUGGGCCACAAAUGCUUCCCAGUGAUCUCUUAUCUUCUCAAAUCGGCCGGUGAAUUCUGGAGUCUUUUCUUUGUCGACAAAUGUUGUUUUCAACUCAUUCUUCCACCUCCUGAAUAGAUCUGCCAUCUUCUUAAGAGCAUGAGCCUUGACCAAUGGCUCUAUAGCUAGCUUCUCCGGAUCCUCCUCUGGCGGUAGGGUGAAAUUUGCCUUCAGCGCGGUCCAAAGAUCAUCUUUCUGCCUAUCGUUGACAUAAGACACCUCAGGGUCUUCGUUCUUAGGCUUAUACCAUUGGUGGAUGCUGAUCGGGAUCAUGUCCCUAACAAGAACCCCGCACUGAGCAGAAAAUGCUUCCUUGGUCCAGAUGGGUUCAAUCGGUUGGCCAUCGCGCGCAAUUGUUGUGAUCGUGAAACUUUCAUCUUGGUGCCACUUCUUCUUCGGGCCUCGUCUCAUUACUAAAGUUUUGCUUGAUCUGGAGGGCUAUAAAAAAAGAAAGAAGAGAGUUAAUAUGUGUACAUACCAAAAAAAUUAAUGCAUCAAUUAGCUAUAGUCAGCACAGGCUUAAUUAAUAUAUAUACCUGGCCGGACUCCGUUCGGUCAUCGGAGUCGUCAUCACGGUCUCCUUCUUCCACCGGCAUUCGGUCACCGGAGCCAUCAUAAUCAUGUCCUUCCUCCUCCAUUCUUUAAUAACCAUAGUCUGCUUCACCCUCUCCUUCCAGACCAUCGGUGUCGUUGAGAUAGUAUGAGACAUCACCUCCGGCUGCGAUUAUGUCCCCCAACACCUCUUCUGUUUCCAAGUCUCGGUGCUCCAUAGUUUCUGCAAAUAUUACAACAUGGCAAGUAUUAUACAAAACAUGACAGAUGGAUAUAUUAGUGGCAAACGUAUACCUAGCUAGCUAAUCACAACAAGGAAUCAUAUUCGUGGCCUCGAUGCUUCUUUAGGGUUUGGGGUGGCCUCAGCAACGCUUCUAGGGUUCGGGGUGGCCUCGACGACAACGCUCUUUUAACUUGGUAAAUUUGGGUGGCCUUGGAAAAUGGUCCAUAUUUUUCCUGAUCUCAUCUACCCUUCUAUAUGUCACAUUUGUCUAGUGUCAAAGGAUUCAACAAAACCAUGUCUUCAUCAUUAGGCGAAAGCAACAGGCGCGUGAUGGUCCGAAGUUCUCCAAAGUUGUUCUGGAACGAACUCCCGGAUAGGAUAAUUCAUCUUUUUGUACGAAUUUCAGCAAAGGCCUUCCAAACUCCAUUCCAGAACAACUUUGCAGAGCUUCAUACCAUCAUGCCCCGGUUACUUCCGGCUAAUGAUGAAGCAAUGGAUUUCUUCAAUACUUUGACACAAGGCAACCUGUCGACCCCUUGGCGAUCCUCGACCCUCGACCCCUCGACGACCCUCGACCGCUCGGCGAUCCACGACCCUCUACCCUAGUUCCCGACCCUCGACCCCCUCAUGUCACGUUUGUAUAGUGUCAAAGGAUUCAACAAAACCAUGUCUUCAUCAUUAGGAGAAAGUAACAGAUGCAUGAUGGUACGAAGCUCUCCAAAGUUAUUUUGGAACGGAUUCCGAGAUAGGAUAAUUCGCUUUUUGGUACAAAGUUCAGCAAAAGCCUUCUGAAUAUCGCUAUUUGGAAGGCUUUUGCUGAAAUUCGUACCAAAAGACGAAUUAUCCUAUCCGGGACUCCGUUCCAGAAUAAAUUUGGAGAACUUUGUACCAUCAUGCCCCCGUUACUUCCGGCUAAUGAUGAAGCCAUGGAUUUCUUCAACACUUUGACACUAGGCAACCUCUCGACCCCUCGACGAUCCUCGACCCCUCGAUGACCCUCGACCCUCGAACCCUCGGCCCCUCGACCCUCGAACCCUCAGUGACCCUCUACCCUAGUUCCCGACCCUCGCCCCUCGAACCCUCGGCGACCCCCCCCCCUCAUGUCGAAGUUAUCAGGGAGGGGGUAUAUCGACCCCUCCCCCUCAUGUCGAAGUUAUCGGGGAGGGGUGAUACGUCUCCAACGUAUCUAUAAUUUUUGAUUGCUCCAUGCUACUUUAUCUACUGUUUUGGACUAUAUUGGGCUUUAUUUUCCACUUUUAUAUUAUUUUUGGGACUAACCUAUUAACCGGAGGCCCAGCCCAGAAUUGCUGUUUUUUGCCUAUUUCAGUAUUUCGAGGAAACAGAAUAUCAAACGGAGUCCAAAUAGAAUGAAACCUUCGGGAACGUGAUCUUCUCACCGAACGUGAUCCAGGAUACUUGGACCCUACUCCAAGAAGUUUCCGGGGAGGUCACGAGGGUGGAGGGCGCCCCCCCCCCCCUAGGCGCACCCCCCUGCCUCGUGGGGCCCCCGUGGCUCCUCCGACGUCCUCCCUGCACCCAUAUAUACCUACGUGACCUAAAACUUCCAGGAUAGAACGUAGAUCAGGAGUUCCGCCGCCAGAAGCCUCCGUAGCCACCAAAACUCAAUCUAGACCCGUUUCGGCACCCUGUCGGAGGGGGCGAUCCAUAUCCGGUGGCCAUCUUCAUCAUCCCGGCACUAUCCAUGACGAGGAGGGAGUAGUUCACCCUCGGGGCUGAGGGUAUGUACCAGUAGCUAUGUGUUUGAUCUCUCUCUCUCGUGUUCCAUCUAUGGCACGAUCUUGAUGUAUCCCGAGCUUUGCUAUUGUAGUUGGAUCUUAUGUUUCUUCUCCCCCUCUACUCUCUUGUGAUGAAUUGAGUUUCCCCUUUGAAGUUAUCUUAUCGGAUUGAGUCUUUUAUGAACACUUGAUGUAUGUCUUACCGUGCUUAUCUGUGGUGACAAUGGGAUAUCACGUGCCACUUGAUGUAUGUUUUGGUGACCAACUUGCGGGUUCCGCCCAUGAACCUAUGCAUAGGGGUUGGCACACGUUCUUGAUUCUCCGGUAGAAACUUUGGGGCACUAUUUGAAGUACUUUUAUGUUGGUUGGAUAAAUCUGAGAUUGUGUGAUGCAUAUCGUAUAAUCAUGCCCACGGAUACUUGAGGUGACAAUGGAGUAUCUAGGUGACAUUAGGGUUUUGGUUGAUUUGUAUCUUAAGGUGUUAUUCUAGUAAAAACUCCAGGGUUGUUUGUGACACUUAUAGGAAUAGCCCAACGGAUUGAUUUGAAAGAAUAACUUUGAGGUGGUUUCGUACCCUACCAUAAUCUCUACGUUUGUUCUCCGCUAUUAGUGGCUUCGGAGUGACUCUUUGUUGCAUGGUGAGGGCUUGUUAUAUGAUAUAUCUAUGUUAUUAUUGUUGAGAGAACUUGCACUAGUGAAAGUAUGAACCCUAGGCCUUAUUUCCUAUCAUUGCAAUACCGUUUACGCUCACUUUUAUCAUUAGUUACCUUGUUGUUUUAUAUUUACAGAUUACUAAUACCUUUAUCUACCAUCCAUAUACCACUUGUAUCACCAUCUCUUCGCCGAACUAGUGCACCUAUACAAUUUACCAUUGUAUUGGGUGUGUUGGGGACACAAGAUACUCUUUGUUAUUUGGUUGCAGGGUUGCUUGAGAGAGACCAUCUUCAUCCUACUCCUCCUACGGAUUGAUAAACCUUAGGUCAUCCACUUGAGGGAAAUUUGCUACUGUCCUACAAACCUCUGCACUUGGAGGCCCAACAACAUCUACAAGAAGAAGGUUGUGUAGUAGACAUCAAGGGGGUAUAUCAGCAACGACAUACCCGAUAAAAAAUAAGAAGAGGAAGAAGAAGAAAAAAAAAGAGGAGAAGAAGAAAGGAAUAGAGGAGAAGAUCGAAGAAAAAAAGAAAAAAGAGGAGAAGAAGAAAGGAAUAGAGGAGAAGAAGAAAAAAUAGAAUAUUGGUUCGAGGUGCUUCAUCAUCACCAUGCUAGUGAUCUAUUCAUGGAUUAAAUUAAUCAAAAAAUUGUCUAUUUACUCAACAUUACGUUCAUUGUUAUGGGUAAUGUUAAGACUAUCUGGUCUUUGACAGAACAAAAUUUUCUAUUCCGAUACAUAUGUUAUGUCGGCAAUUGCAACAAAUGGUUAGGGAGCUUCUACAUAGCAUGGAAGGUCAACUUAUGCUCCGUUGGAUUACAUUCUCGCUUUUUUGAGGGCGGGGGUAUAGACGUUAUCGUAUCUAAGUUUGUAUACUUGUUUUAAUUGUUUUUGCUUGCAGUGUGAAGUGUGUGUUCUGAUUGUAUGCAUGAUUGUAAGAAAAUACCAGGAAUUGAAUUUUUGUGUGGUUUUACGAGAUUGACGGCUAAUAAAUAAUUUUCAUUAAAGCACCUAAUCCCUUUUUCAUUAAUUUCUUAAUAAAAAUAGAAAAAAAUAGAGCAUCUACAGUCGGGCGCUCCAAACCCAUCUCAAACGCCCGGGCGGGCGGCCUGGUCAGCGACCGGCCACAAAAAAGUUGCCCAUACGGGCGCAUCAAACGAGCCUCAAACGUCCGAGCUGACCGACACCCCUCAUAUCCAAAUCAAAUAUAGGACGGAUAUGGAGCGCCCGAGCGCGUCUACGACGUCGGAAUGACGAUGGGGCCCCACACAGAAUCUCCUGGAAACCCGGCAGUCCGACGGACGUCUCCUCCCAUGAAGGGUGUGAACGUCGCGUGGCGCUGUUGGGGAACGUAGUAAUUUCAAAACAAUUCCUAUGCACACACAAGAUCAUGGUGAUGCAUAGCAACGAGAGGGGAGAGUGUUGUCCACAUACCCUCGUAGACCGAAAGUGGAAGCGUUAGCACAACGCGGUUGAUGUAGUCGUACGUCUUCACGAUCCGACCAAUCCAAGUACCGAACGUACGGCACCUCCGAGUUCGGCACACGUUCAGCUCGAUGACGUCCCUCGAACUCCGAUCCAGCCGAGCUUUGAGGGAGAGUUCUGUCAGCACGACGGUGUGGUGAUGGUGAUGAUGAUGCUACCGACGCAGGGCUUCGCCUAAGCACCGCUACGAUAUUAUCGAGGUGGAAUAUGGUGGAGGGGGCACCGCACACGGCUAAGAGAUCAAUUGUUGUGUCUAUGGGGUGCCCCACUCCUCCGUAUAUAAAGGGGGGAGGAGGAGAGGGCCGGCCAAGGGGAGGAGGCGCGCCCAAGGGGGGCAAUCCUACUCCAAGUAGGAUUCCCCCCUCUUUCCUAGUCCAAGUAGGAGAGGGGAAGGAAGGGGAGGAGAAGAAGAAGAAGGAAAGGGGGGCGCCCCCCUAGUCCAAUUCGGUUUGGGCUAGGGGGCCGUGUGCCCCUAGCUGGCCGCCUCUCCUCUUCCACCACUUGGGCCCAUGAGGCCCAAUAACCCCCCGGGAGGUUCCGGUAACCUCCUAGUUUCUCCGGUAUUUAUCCGAUAACCCCCGAAACUCAUCCGGUGUCCGAAUAUAACAUUCCAAUAUAUCAAUCUUAAUGUCUCUACCAUUUCGAGACUCCUUGUCAUGUCCAUGAUCACAUCCGGGACACCGAACUACCUUCGGUACAUCAAAACACCAAACUCAUAAUACCGAUCGUCAUCUAACUUUAAGCUUGUGGACCCUACGGGUUCGAGAACUAUGUAGACAUGACCGAGACACGUCUCUGGUCAAUAACCAAUAGCAGAACCUGGAUGCUCAUAUUGGCUCCUACAUAUUCUACAAAGAUCUUUAUCGGUCAAACCGCAUAACAACUUACGUUGUUCCCUUUGUCAUCUGUAUGUUACUUGCCCAAGAUUCGAACGUCGGUAUCUCAAUACCUAGUUCAAUUUCUUUACCGGCAAGUCUCUUUACUCGUUUCGUAAUACAUCAUCUCGCAACUAACUCAUUAUUCACAAUGCUUGCAAGGCUUAUAGUGAUGUGCAUUACCGAGAGGGCCCAGAGAUACCUCUCUGACAAUCGGAGUGACAAAUCCUAAUCUCGAAAUACGCCAACCCAACAAGUACCUUCAGAGACAUCUGUAGAGCACCUUUAUAAUCACCCAGUAAUGUUGUGACGUUUGGUAGCACACAAAGUGUUCCUCCGGUAAACGGGAGUUACAUAAUCCCAUAGUCAUAGGAACAUGUAUAAGUCAUGAAGAAAGCAAUAGCAACAUACUAAACGAUCAAGUGCUAAGCUAACGGAAUGGGUCAAGUCAAUCACAUUAUUCUCCUAAUAAUGUGAUCCCGUUAAUCAAAUGACAACUCAUGUCCAUGGCUAGGAAACUUAACCAUCUUUGAUUAACAAGCUAGUCAAGUAGAGGCAUACUAGUGACACUAUGUUUGUCUAUGUAUUCACACAUGUAUUAUGUUUCCGGUUAAUACAAUUCUAGCAUGAAUAAUAAACAUUUAUCAUGAUAUGAGGAAAUAAAUAAUAACUUUACUAUUGCCUCUAGGGCAUAUUUCCUUCAGUCUCCCACUUGCACUAGAGUCAAUAAUCUAGAUUACACAGUAAUGAUUCUAACACCCAUAGAGCCUUGGUGCUGAUCAUGUUUUGCUCGUGGAAGAGGCUUAGUCAAUGGGUGUGCAACAUUCAGAUCCGUAUGUAUUUUGCAAAGCUUUAUAUCUCCCAUCUGGACUUGGUCCCAGAUGGAAUUGAAGCGUCUCUUGAUGUGCUUGGUCCUCUUGUGAAAUCUGGAUUCCUUUGCCAAGGCAAUUGCACCAGUAUUGUCACAAAAGAUUUUCAUUGGAACCAAUGCACUAGGUAUGACACCUAGAUCGGAUAUGAACUCCUUCAUCCAGACUCCUUCAUUUGCUGCUUCUGAAGCAGCUAUGUACUCUGCUUCACACAUAGAUCCCGCCAAGACGCUUUGUUUAGAACUGCACCAACUAACAGCUCCACCAUUCAAUGUAAACACGUAUCCGGUUUGCGAUUUAGAAUUGUCCGGAUCAGUGUCAAAGCUUGCAUCGACGUAACCAUUUACGACUAGCUCUUUGUCACCUCCAUAAACGAGAAACAUAUCCUUAGUCCUUUUCAGGUAUUUCAGGAUGUUCUUGACCGCUGUCCAGUGAUACACUCCUGGAUUACUUUGGUACCUCCCUUCUAAACUUAUAGCAAGGCACACAUCAGGUCUGGUACACAUCAUUGCAUACAUGAUAGAGCCUAUGGCUGAAGCAUAGGGAACAUCUUUCAUCUUCUCUCUAUCUUCUGCAGUCGUUGGGCAUUGAGUCUUACUCAACUUCACACCUUGUAACACAGGCAAGAACCCUUUCUUUGCUUGAUCCAUUUUGAACUUCUUCAAAACUUUGUCAAGGUAUGUACUUUGUGAAAGUCCAAUUAAGCGUCUUGAUCUAUCUCUAUAGAUCUUGAUGCCCAAUAUAUAAGCAGCUUCACCAAGGUCCUUCAUUGAAAAACUCUUGUUCAAAUAUCCCUUUAUGCUAUCCAGAAAUUCUAUAUCAUUUCCAAUCAACAAUAUGUCAUCUACAUAUAAUAUCAGAAAUGCUACAGAGCUCCCACUCACUUUCUUAUAAAUACAGGCUUCUCCAAAAGUCUGUAUAAAUCCAUAUGCUUUGAUCACACUAUCAAAAUGUUUAUUCCAACUCCGAGAGGCUUGCACCAGUCCAUAGAUGGAUCGCUGGAGCUUGCACAUUUUGUUAGCUCCCUUUGGAUCGACAAAACCUUCCGGUUGCAUCAUAUACAACUCUUCUUCCAGAAAUCCAUUCAGGAAUGCAGUUUUGACAUCCAUGUGCCAAAUUUCAUAAUCAUAAAAUGCGGCAAUUGCUAACAUGAUUCGGACAGACUUAAGCAUUGCUACGGGUGAGAAAGUCUCAUCGUAGUCAAUCCCUUGAACUUGUCGAAAACCUUUUGCAACAAGUCGAGCUUUAUAGACAGUAACAUUACCGUCAGCGUCAGUCUUCUUCUUGAGGAUCCAUUUAUUCUCAAUGGCUUGCCGAUCAUCGGGCAAGUCAACCAAAGUCCACACUUUGUUCUCAUACAUGGAUCCCAUCUCAGAUUUCAUGGCCUCAAGCCAUUUUGCGGAAUCUGGGCUCACCAUUGUUUCUUCAUAGUUCGUAGGUUCGUCAUGGUCUAGUAACAUAACUUCCAGAACGGGAUUACCGUACCACUCUGGCGCGGAUCUUACUCUGGUUGACCUACGAAGUUCAGUAGCAACUUGAUCUGAAGUUUCAUGAUCAAUGUCAUUAGCUUCCUCACUGAUUGGUGUAGGUGUCACGGGAACCGGUUUCUGCGAUGAACUACUUUCCAAUAAGGGAGCAGGUAUAGUUACCUCAUCAAGUUCUACUUUCCUCCCACUCACUUCUUUCGAGAGAAACUCCUUCUCUAGAAAGGAUCCAAAUUUAGCAACAAAAGUCUUGCCUUCGGAUCUGUGAUAGAAGGUGUACCCAACAGUUUCCUUUGGGUAUCCUAUGAAGACGCAUUUCUCCGAUUUGAGUUCGAGCUUAUCAGGUUGAAGCUUUUUCACAUAAGCAUCGCAACCCCAAACUUUAAGAAACGACAGCUUAGGUAUCUUGCUAAACCACAGUUCAUACGGUGUCGUCUCAACGGAUUUAGAUGGUGCCCUUUUUAAUAUGAAUGCAGCUGUCUCUAAUGCAUAACCCCAAAACGAUGGUGGUAAAUCGGUAAGAGACAUCAUAGAUUGCACUAUAUCAAAUAAAGUAUGGUUAUGACGUUCGGACACACCAUUAUGCUGUGGUGUUUCAGGUGGCAUGAGUUUAUGAAACUAUUCCACAUUGUUUUAAUUGAAGACCAAACUCGUAACUCAAAUAUUCGCCUCUGUGAUCAGAUCGUAGAAACUUUAUUUUCUUGUUACGAUGAUUUUCCACUUCACUCUGAAAUUCUUUAAACUUUUCAAAUGUUUCAGACUUAUGUUUCUUCAAGUAGAUAUACCCAUAUCUGCUCAAAUUAUCUGUGAAGGUUAGAAAAUAACGAUACCCGCCGCGAACCUCAACACUCAUCGGACCUCAUACAUCAGUAUGUAUUAUAUCCAAUAAGUCAGUUGCUCGCUCCAUUGUUCUGGAGAACGGAGUCUUAAUCAUCUUUGCCCAUGAGUCAUGGUUCGCAAGCAUCAACUGAUUCAUAAUCAAGUGAUUCCAAAAGCCCAUCAGUAUGGAUUUUCUUCAUGCGCUUUACACCAAUAUGACCUAAAUGGCAGUGCCACAAAUAAGUUGCACUAUCAUUAUUAACGUUGCAUCUUUUGUCUUCAAUAUUAUGAAUAUGUGUAUCACUAUGAUCUAGAUUCAACAAACCAUUUUCAUUGGGUGUAUAACCAUAGAAGGUUUUAUUCAUGUAAACAGAAUAACAAUUAUUCUCUAACUUAAAUGAAUAACUGUAUUGCAAUAAACAUGAUCAAAUCAUAUUCAUGCUCAACGCAAACACCAAAUAACACUUAUUUAGGUUCAACACUAAUCCCGAAAGUAUAGGAAGUGUGCGAUGAUGAUCAUAUCGUUCUUGGAACUACUUCCAACACACAUCGUCACUUCACCCUUAACUAGUCUCUGUUCAUUCUGCAACUCCCGUUUCAAGUUACUACUCUUAGCAACUGAACUAGUAUCAAAUACCGAGGGGUUGCUAUAAACACUAGUAAAGUACACAUCAAUAACAUGUAUAUCCAAUAUACCUUUGUUCACUUUGCCAUCCUUCUUAUCCACCAAAUACUUGGUGCAGUUCCGCUUCCAGUGACUAGUCCCUUUGCAGUAAAAGCACUUAGUCUCGGGCUUAGGUCCAGACUUGGGCUUCUUCACUUGAGCAGCAACUUGCUUGACGUUCUUCUUGAAGUUCCCCUUCUUCCCUUUGCCCUUUUCUUGAAACUAGUGGUCUUGUUAACCAUCAACACUUGAUGAUUUUCUUGAUUUCUACCUUCGUCGAUUUUAGCAUCACGAAGAGCUUGGAAAUCGUUUCCGUUAUCCCUUGCAUAUUAUAGUUCAUCAUGAAGUUCUAGCAACUUGGUGAUAGUGACUAGAGAACUCUGUCAAUCACUAUCUUAUCUGAAAGAUUAACUCCCACUUGAUUCAAGUGAUUGUAGUACUGAGACAAUCUGAGCACAUGCUUACUGAUUGAGCUAUUCUCCUCCAUCUUGUAGGCAAAGUAAUGUCAGAGGUAUCAUACCUCUUGACACGGGCAUGAGUAUGAAAUACCAAUUUCAACUCUUGGAACAUCUUAUCUGCUCCGUGGCGUUCAAAACAUUUUGAAGUCCCGGUUCUAAGCCGUAAAGCAUGGUGCACUAAACUAUCAAGUAGUUAUCAUACCGAGCUUUUGUCAAAACGUUCAAAACAUCUGCAUCUGCUCCUGCAAUAGUUCUGUCACCUAGCGGUGCAUUAAGUACAUAAUACUUCUGUGCAGCAAUGAGGAUAAUCCUCAUAUCACGGAGCUAGUCCGCAUCUUUGCUACUAACAUCUUUCAACUUUGCUUUCUCAAGGAACACAUUAAAAUUCAAUGAAACAACAGCACGGGCCAUCUAUCUACAAUCAACAUAGACAAGCAAAAUAAUAUCAGGUACUAAGUUCAUGAUAAAUUUAAGUUCAAUUAAUCAUAUUACUUAAGAACUCCCACUUAUAUAGACAUCCCUCUAAUCAUCUAAGUGAUCGCGUGAUCCAAAUCAACUAAACCAUGUCCGAUCAUCACGUGAGAUGGAGUAGUUUCAUUGGUGAACAUCACUAUGUUGAUCAUAUCUACUAUAUGAUUCACGCUCGACCUUUUGGUCUCAGUGUUCCGAGGCCAUAUCUGCAUAUGCUAGGCUCGUCAAGUUUAACCUGAGUAUUCUGCGUGUGCAACUGUUUUCCACCCGUUUUAUUUGAACGUAAAGCCUAUCACACCCGAUCAUCAUGUGGUAUCUCAGCACAAAGAACUUUUGCAACGGUGCAUACUCAGGGAGAACACUUUUAUCUUGAAAUUUAGUGAGAUAUCAUCUUAUAAUGCUACCGUCAAUCAAAGCAAGAUAAGAUGCAUAAAAGAUAAACAUCACAUGCAAUCAAUAUAAGUGAUAUGAUAUGGCCAUCAUCAUCGUGUGCUUGUGAUCUCCAUCUCUGAAGCACCGUCAUGAUCACCGUCGUCACCGGCGCGACACCAUGAUCUCCAUCGUAGCAUCGUUGUCGUCUCGCCAAUUUAUGCUUCUACGACUAUCGCUACCGCUUAGUGAUAAAGUAAAGCAUUACAGGGCGAUUGUAUUGCAUACAAUAAAGCGACAACCAUAUGGCUCCUGCCAGUUGCCGAUAACUCGGUUACAAAACAUGAUCAUCUCAUACAAUAAAAUAUAGCAUCAUGCCUUGACCAUAUCACAUCACAACAUGCCCUGCAAAAAUAAGUUAGACGUCUUCUACUUUGUUGUUGCAACUUUUACGUGGCUGCUACGGGCUGAGCAAGAACCGUUCUUACCUACGCAUCAAAACCACAACGAUAGUUCAUCAAGUUAGUGAUGUUUUAACCUUCUCAAGGGCCGGGUGUAGCCACACUCGGUUCAACUAAAGUUGGAGAAACUGACACCCGCCAGCCACCUGUGUGCAAACCACGUCGGUAGAACCAGUCUCGCAUAAGCGUACGCGUAAUGUCGGUCCGGGCCGCUUCAUCCAACAAUACCGCCGAACCAAAGUGCAACAUGCUGGUAAGCAGUAUGACUUGUAUCGCCCACAACUCACUUGUGUUCUACUCGUGCAUAAACAUCUACGCAUAAAACCAGGCUCUGAUGCCACUGUUGGGGAACGUAGUAGUUUCAAAAAAAUUCCUACGCACACGCAAGAUCAUGGUGAUGCAUAGCAACGAGAGGGGAGAGUGUUGUCCACGUACCCUCGUAGACCGAAAGCGGAAGCGUUAGCACAACGCGGUUGAUGUAGUUGUGCGUCUUCAUGAUCCGACCGAUCCAAGUACCGAACGUACGCACCUUCGAGUUCAGCACACGUUCAGCUCGAUGACGUCCUUCAAACUCCGAUCCAGCCGAGCUUUGAGGGAGAGUUCCGUCAGCACGACAGCGUGGUGACGGUGAUGAUGAUGCUACCGACGCAGGGCUUCGCCUAAGCACCGCUACGAUAUUAUCAAGGUGGAAUAUGAUGGAGGGGCACCGCACACGGCUAAGAGAUUAAGAGAUUAAUUGUUGUGUCUAUGGGGUGCCCCCCUCCUCCGUAUAUAAAGGGGGGAGGAGGAGAGGGUCGGCCAAGGGGAGGAGGCACGCCCAAGGGGGGCAAUCCUACUCCAAGUAGGAUUCCCCCCUCUUUCCUAGUCCAAGUAGGAGAGGGGAAGGAACGGGAGGAGAAGAAGAAGGAAAGGGGGCCGGAGCAAGAACUGGCGGCAACCAAUGCGCUAUUAGACGAGUUGGAGGCAGAGAUGGAGGUGGAGGCUGACGUGGAGCAACCGGACGAGCCGGAGCUGCGGCAGCUGCCUUUGUACUUGAAGCCGGGCACAGAGAUAGUGGACAUCUCCAACUAGGAUUAGGAUAGUAUAGAUUGCUUGAUCUACAUAGUACAUGGAUUUCCCCGCUUGCAUGCUUUUCUAUGGAUAGAUUUGUAGUAUGAGGUAUCCGGAUGCAGAGAAGCAAAUUCAAGAUAUUGAUCAAAUUUGUUGCCCGCGGCUGUAGAUGCUCUUGCAGAAGGUAGGGACGGGGGACGAGAAGCAGGGAGUUUGAGCAUUGUGGCAACCCACUACAUAUGCUAGUAGUUGAUACAUAUAUUAUUGGACGAAAACCCGACAUCGCUUACAUCAAAGUUUUACUCUCAUUGAAUGAAAUUAUAAGACAUAUGUUAGUUUCAUGUACAAAACUUUUCACCAAUAUUGUUCUUGUUUUCCGGUCUAUCACUGGCUUUGAUAUCACAUAUUUUGUUAAGCACGGGCGUGAACAAAAACGGCUGUUAUUUCAUAAAGUUUUCCUGCCAUCCUUCUAUGCCCUCGCAGCCUUGACGGCUGCCUUCUAUGCAGCGGCGGCGGUGUUAGGCACAGCCAUCACAAAUGAUGUAGGCAUAAAUGAUGGAGCCAUAACUUACCCCUCGAAGACAUCUGAAUUCAGAGGCAUGCAUGCAGAACAGAUACAUGCACACAUCCAAAAAGCUCUUUGUUUACUUCUGCUCACCCGAAGCACAUAUGUGGGCAACCAAAUAGAGGCCUUAAAAUGGCCACCAAUUUAAUGCGGGCAACCAAAGAACAUGUAGAUGUUUGAUUUUUUGGCGGUCUUUUUGGCAGUUUUUUGCCAACCAGGCCUCAAAAAAAAAUUUGAACAUACCAGGCCUCAAUUAAGGCAUAGAUACAGUGCGGACAAAAGUAACCAAACACGCCCGUAGAGCUUCUUCGUUUUAGUUGCGCCGCAGAUCAAAAGCUAUAGUAAACCUGCAACUCCGCCGCGCUGCAUUCUGCGAGAAGGUCAGACGCGGCAUGCAAGAAUGGCUGGCGCUCUCAAGUCCGAGCAACAUUGAACGGCUCGAAUGCGUCCAGGCUUCCGAAAGGAGAGGCGGCGAUCGACCAUCUAUCGAAGGGACCGGGGAAGCAAGCUGCAGUGCAACAGCAACACCCUCCUCCUCCCGGUUCCGGUCACGAGGAGUGCAGCGCGUGCAGGGUGUCUGCGGGCGCGGGCCGGCCUAUUCUGGGUGGCACCCAGGUACGACGAUCCCGACACAAACUUGUGCGAGGUAGACUGAUAAUCAUGCCAUAUUCGGAGAACAAGGAUCGCAAUCGAGAGCAUACUACACACAUUUUACUUCGUUCCUGCGGAAACUAUGAAACAUUCAUGCGUACUCAGCUCUUCUAUAAGAAAUGGAAAUUAUAUGUAUGUAUAUGUUCUGAGACUGCACCGGACCCCAAGCUGGCCUUAUUCUCUGGGGAACACUAGCCGUUCACGUGCCACAUAUGCUGUCCUACUUCUCGAUAUCUGUACAAGUCCAGGUGGAAUGUUGAUGAGCAGUAGCGCCGCAUCCGCGUGUACCAAGUAGUGCGACCACGUGGCCAGCGUACGUCCACGGCAGAGCAUCAAGCCACACACUGUUCACGUGCGCUAGCUCACACACACAUUACCUCCAAGAAAUUCCUCCCAGAGCUCAUCGAAGCUCCAUGACUCCAUCACAUCUGCUACCACGAGCUCAAGGACAAAAUGCUCCAAAAAAGAAAACCAAUCCGCUGGUGUCCUCAAGGCGACACGCUGCGCAAAAGGAUCUUUGCAGCAACUUGCCAUGCAUCGCACACGUCAGAUUACUGCCAUGGCUUCUCUCACCGCUACUACAACCACCAUAUACUUGGGAUUGGGAUUCAAAACUCCUACUACUCGGCUGGCUGGGCUGAGCCGGUGGGCGGGCCCGGCAUAUUCCGCUUUGAACUCCGGCCCCAAGCGCGUGAGGACACGGGCCGCACUGGCCCACCCCACCGGAUGCAUACGCAUAUGCAUACAUAUUACUAAACGAUAUCUCUCCGAAAGAAGCAACCAAACAAGCUGGCGCUGCUCUGUUCCUGCUCCCCCGCAUGUGUCUAAGCUAAGCUAAGCUGAGCUGAGCCGCUUGGUUAUUCGGAACGAUGUGUUUUUGGCGCAUGAACCAUCGCUUUCGCGGCUUGUCCAUGUCAGCCACCCAACCCUAGUCCGGCUAGCCAGCCAGCGGCCAGUGACUAGUCCGUCCGUCAGAUCACCAUGCCAUUGCCAUGAUACUGUACCACCCGGCUGGGUGGGUGGGUUCCACCUGGGCUAGUUUAGUUCCGGGAGAAAAAUCCAAGAGUGUGUACCCGCUUUUCUUUUCUUGCAUGCGGCGAUCUGCGAAAAGGAACGGCUGAUGUUGCAAUGCUGUGGCCGUUCGCUAUCUUGAAGGCCUUGUCUUGGAACCGUUGCGCCCCCUGCCCGCUAAUGUGUCGUCGUCGUAGAUUUGAUGGUAAGAUUUAGAAAUGUUGUCGUGAGGCUUAUCCUGUGAGGAUGGCUUUGAGAUUGUUUUCUUUCUUCUUGUAUGUCGAUUUGUUUGGUAUUAUCAACGGUAAAUAAUACUCUCUUUGUCCGUAAAUACUUGUCGGAAAAAGGGAUAUUUCCAGAGGGAGGGAGUAUAUAGUUGUGAGUAUUUUGUUGGCAAUUUUAGUUCACUCGAGAUAGGUAAACAUGUGUAAGACAAUAGGCUUUGGAGGGAACCAGCACAACCCUCUAGGGGUGGCCUAUCACAUAUAUAUAUAUAAUGAGGUGGUAUACAACGUUACAAUAUACACAUGUAAAUACAGUCUAACACCCUCCCUCAAUCUUAGCCACUUUCUAAUGAAUCUAGAAGGGUAAGAUUGCGCCUGCAAGUCUCAAACUGUGGCAAAGGCAAUGGCUUGGUGAAGAUGUCAGCAAGUUGAUCCUUGGAAGAAAUAAACUUGAUCUGUAGUUGCUUCUGAGAGACACGUUCACGCACAAAGUGAUAGUCAACUUCAAUGUGUUUCGUUCGGGCAUGGAAUACCGGAUUUGCAGAAAGGUAUGUAGCACCGAUGUUAUCACACCAAAGAACAGGAGGCUGUGAUUGGGGUAUACUUAACUCCUGAAGCAAGGACUGUACCCAGAUAAUCUCUGAUGUGGCAUUGGCCACAGCCUUAUACUCAGCCUCAGUACUGCUACGCGAGACAGUAGCCUAUUUCCGAGCACUCCAGGCAAUCAGGUUAGAGCCAAAGAAGACAGCAUAACCCCCCGUGGAUCGCCUGUCAUCCGGAUUGCCAGCCCAGUCUGCAUCAGAAUAUGCUGAAAGACAACCAGAGUCAGACGGCCGAAUAUGCAAACCAUGAGCCACCGUGAAACGAAUAUAGCGCAAAAUCCGCUUAACAGCAGACCAAUGAGUGUCACGGGGUGACUGCAGAUACUGGCAGACUCGGUUAACAACAUAGGAAAUGUCUGGUCGCGUGAUCGUCAAGUACUGGAGCCCACCAACAAUACUCCUGUACUCUGUCGCAUCAGAAGAAGAAAGAAGCACACCAUCAACAGCAUUGAGCUUAUCAGUGGUAGACAUGGGUGUAGUCGUCGGUUUGCACUUAAGCAUCCCAGCUCGCUGCAACAAAUCCAGAGAGUACUUCUUCUGCGUCAUAACAAGGCCAGCAUCACGAGAAGUAACCUCCACACCAAGAAAGUAAUGAAGCUUCCCAAGGUCCUUGACCGCAAAAUCAGCACCAAGUGAGCGAACAAGCGCAGUAGCAGCCGACUGAGAGGAGCUGACCAAAAUGAUAUCAUCUACAUAGACCAACAAGUACAUAGUAACCUCAGGCCUUUGAAGAAGAAACAAUGAGGAGUCAGCAGUUGAUGAUGCAAAACCAUGAGCACGAAGAGCCAUUGCAAGACGAGCAUGCCAAGCACGAGGAGCCUGCUUCAGACCAUAAAUUGCCUUGGACAGACGACAGAGAUGAUCAGGGCGAUCCGGAUCAGAGAAACCCGGAGGCUGGCGCAUGUAAACCUCUUCCGCCAAGACACCAUGAAGAAAAGCAUUUUGAACAUCAAGCUGACGAAGAAACCAACCUCAAGUAACAGCCAGAGAGAGAAGAAGUCUGAUGGUAGUAGGCUUGACCACUGGACUGAAGGUGUCUUCAUAGUCAAGUCCAAAACGCUGUCGAAAACCACGAGCAACCAGACGAGCCUUAUAGCGCUCAAUGGACCCAUCAGAAUGCCUCUUCACUUUGAAAACCCAUUUGGAAUCAAUGACAUUUACCCGUGAUUGUGGAGGAACAAGAGUCCAUGUCUGAUUGCGAAGAAGCGCUUGAUACUCCUGCUCCAUGGCCUCUCUCCAAUGAGGAAUGCGCAUAGCAGCUUGAUACGUGCGUGGCUCAGAGGAUGGAUCUGCGAGAGCAGCAGACAUGCACGCCGCUAACCAAGCAACUGUGCCAUCGUGACGUUGCUUAGGCUGAAAAAUGCCACUCCGACUGCGCGUAUGUGGACGUAGAGCAGCAGCAGGAGCCGGCGAAGGUGACGGAGACGUGACGGUCGCCGGAGAUGCAGGAAUCACCUCAGGCGAGCUCGGGACAGACGACUCCGGGCUGCAUGGCGAAGACUGGCCCGACGACAGGGGCUCAGAGGCCAUGGGCGAACCGAGGGUGGGCGAGGCCAGCUCCGGUGACACCGGCCCAGACGGCCUUGGCGAGGCGAGAGCAGGCGAGGCCGGCCCUGGUGAGAAGGGCCCAGACACCCUGGGCGAGGCAGGGGCGGGCGAGGCCAGGCCUGGUGAUGACUGCCCCGACGCCCUGGGCGAGACGGGGACCGAGGAGGCCGGCCCAGUCGGCGGGGUUGCAGGGCGCGACGAUGGCGAAGGCAGCCCAGAAGCCAGAGGCGACCGGGCCAGGACGUCGAUCGGUUGUGCAUGAGCACGGAAACCGAGGCCAUGCAGGGGCGCCAUGUGCUCCUCAUGCACAACAGAAGGUGCCGAGGAUGAAGGCGAUGGCGACGAAGAGGAAGAUGGCGCUUCCAGAAUCUCCAAACGAGCCCCACGACCAGUGGCUGCACCAUGGUUAGACAACAAUAGAGGAGAAUAUGCAACAUCAUCAAAUUGGUCAGAAGCAACAGAGGAUGAAUGCAUGACAGGUGGCUCGGUAGUGGACACAGGGAGGUUGGCAAAGGGAAAAACAUGCUCAUCAAACACAACAUCCCGAGAGAUGUAGACACGAUUAGUGGGAACAUGAAGACAUUUGUAUCCUUUAUGAAGAGAGCUAUAACCAAGAAAAACACACUUCUUGGAACGAAACUCGAGCUUACGCUUGUUAUAUGGACGGAGAUGGGGCCAGCAAGCACACCCAAACACCUUGAGAAAGGUGUAGUCUGGUUGUUCAUUAAGGAGAACUUCAAUGGGAGUCUUCAUAUUCAAAACACGAGUGGGAGUACGAUUGAUGAGAAAACAUGCAGUGGUGAAAGCAUCACUCCAAAAACGAAACGGAACAGAUGCAUGGGCCAAAAGAGUCAGACCAGCUUCAACAAUGUGACGAUGCUUACGUUCUACUGAACCAUUCUGCUGAUGUGUAUGUGGACAUGCUAAACGGUGAGUGAUCCCAAGCGACUGAAAGAAGGAGUUGAGGUUGAGAUACUCGCCACCCCAGUCCGACUGAACAUGAACAAUUUUGUGCUUGAGAAGGCGUUCAACAUAUUUUUGGAACUGAACAAAAAUGUCAAACACAUCAGAUUUACGUUUGAUAAGAUAAAGCCAGGUAAAGCGGCUGUAAGCAUCAACAAAACUGAUAUAAUAAUUAUGACCACUAACAGAAGUCUGAGCAGGACCCCAUACAUCUGAAAACACAAGUUCUAAAGGAUGUUUCACCUCACGACUGGACUCCGAAAAAGGAAGUUGAUGACUCUUCCCCUGCUGACAAGCAUCACACACUGCUACAUCUUUAUUACUAGACACACUAGGAAGCUCAUGACGACGCAAAAUAUGCCGGACAAUAGGUGUGGCCGGGUGACCAAGACGAGCAUGCCACUGUGACGGAGAUACCCGAACUCCACUGAAGACGCGAGCGACGCCAGGAUGCUCCAGACGAUAAAGACCUUGGCAGAGCCGCCCACUAAGAAGAAUGUCCCUCGUGCCCCGAUCCUUAAUAAAAAGAUCAAAAGGAUGAAAUUCACAAAGCACAUUAUUAUCACGAGUGAGUUUAGGAACUAAAAGAAGAUUACGUGUCACAGAUGGAACUCGAAGAACAUUGCGAAGUUGAAGACUCCUAUUGGCAUGUCUAGUGAGAAGUGAUGCUUGACCAAUAUGAGAGAUGCACAUACCUGCUCCAUUGGCGGUGUGGAUCUUGUCGGAGCCAUGGUAGGGUUCACGAGUGUGAAGCUUCCCCAUCUCACUGGUCAGGUGCUCUGUCGCUCCAGAGUCCAUGUACCAGUGGGGAUCAAUGGAGUAGGACUGAGUGUGUCCCUGUGGCUUCUGCGGCGGCGGACGAUCAGCCAUGGCGACCUGACGAGCAAAGUUGCGUGUAUCCUUCCCGUCAUUGCCAAGACCAAGAAAACCCCGCUGGAAGCGCUUGUGACACUUCGAGGCCCAGUGCCCAUCGCGACCACAAAGCUGGCACACACGUGGACCGCCAGCCCCUGGUAGCGUCGCAGUAGGAGGAGGGGCCGAGGCGGGUGGUGGUGACUGCCCCGAAGGAGCCCUGGAUGAAGCAGAGGAGCGACCACCCUUGGUGGCGGCGUUUGCCGAGAGGGCACCGUUGCCCCUGGAUCGGCGCGUCUCGACUCGUUGCUCAGUAAGCAGGAGGCGUGAAAAGACCUCGUGUGCUGGCAUGGGCGUGGAGUUGCCCCUCUCAUUGAUGAUCUCGACUAGGGCGUCAUACUCCUCAUCAAGACCAUUGACGAUAAACGAGUUGAACUCGGAGUCGGUGAGGGGCUGUCCAAUGGAGGCCAGCGUGUCGGCGAGACUCUUGACUUUGUUGUAGAACUCAGUGGCGGUGGAGUCAAACUUCUGACACUCCCCAAGUUGGCGACGGAGCCCAGAUACACGAGCCUGCGACUGUGCCGCAAACGAGCGCUCAAGAAUAGUCCAUGCCUCGUGGGACGUCUUGGCGAAGACAACAAGCCCAGCAACGGCCGGAGAGAGCGACCCCUGGAUGGAGGAGAGGUUCGCCUGAUCCUGCCCUGUUCAGACACGGUGAGCCGGAUUAUAGACCGGACCAUGCACGCUGUCAACCAGCGCAGGAGGGCAAGGGAGAGAGCCGUCGACAUAGCCAAGCAGGUAGUGACUCCCAAGAAGCGGAAGAACCUGCGCGCGCCAGAAGAUGUAAUUGUCCGACGACAACUUGAUGGUGAUGAGAUGGCCGAAGUGAAACGGCGGCGGCGGCUGCGAUCCCAUCGAGGAGACUGGCUGAGGUGAGAACACCGUGGAGACAGUCGGAGGGGCAGCCGGCGCGGUGACAGAGGGCGCGAUGGCCGCGGUUGACGCCGCGAAGCCUGCCAGCGCGACGUCCUCCGCCACCAGCGGCGCAGUGGCCGAGGGCGCGACAGCCGCGGUUGACGGGGCGGCGGUGGUGUGGGCCACAAGCGCCUGCCCGGGCGAAGUAGCAGCCGGCGGGAGCACGAAGAGGGAGCCGACGCUCCGUGUCCCGAUCGGCGCCUGAAGGGAGGCGGCAUCCAGUGGCCUCGAGAGAAGUGCCGCGAGGGAGGCCGGCAGAAAACCGGUGGCGGUGGAGCCGGACGCAGCGGCGGACGUCAUAGCAGUCGGGCGACGGCGGCGGCGGGCGCGGCGGCGGCGGCUGUGGCGGCGGCGGUGGCGGCGGCGGUUUAGGGUUUUUAGGCGGAAGCGGACGUAACCUAGCGUGAUACCAUGUAAGACAAUAGGCUUUGGGGGGAACCAGCACAACCCUUUAAGGGUGGCCUAUCACAUAUAUAUAUAAUGAGGUGGUAUACAACAUUACAAUAUACACAUGUAAAUACAGUCUAACAACAUGACACUUUUCCCAUAAAAGAACUAACAGGGACAAAGUUGCCACAUUCUAACAUCUAAAGUUGCCACCUCGCGUUAACUAAAGUUGCCAUAAAAAACAUUCACGAUGGCAUGCUUAAAAUCAGAAUGUUCGGGAUUUUAUUGAAUAUGCCAUCAGUAAGGGAGGUUGAAACGGUGACCAUAGGACAAAAUGAAAGCCAACCCCAGACUUGAAAAACCUGCAGAUGGGAACGCAUGCGCCAUUUUCCCUGUAAGCAAAUGAUUAUGAUGCUGCCGAAACUGCACCACUUUUCCUCAACAAAACGCAGCGUGGCGCCGCUUGAUGCUCUGUAAGGCUGUGUAACAGCCUGCGGGCAGCAGGCAGGCCGAUGGGAGCUGCCGGCCGGCCGGCCUGUCCCGGCGCCGUUGAAGUCGCUGCGUAUGAUCAGUCUGCUCUGUGCUCGAUCACGGGUGUGCCUGACGGCCAGCCAUCAGUGGCUUUCAGGCGGCGCCCACAGCGUACACCGACGAGAGAGAUGCCCUCCGGCGGGCCGUGCCUUUGACCGACUGUUGGACGGGAGCGGGGGGCUCCGACGGCGGCCUUCCUUCUCUAAUCUCCGGCUGAGCGCCGGUGAGGUCCUGCCCUCUGCCACAAGAGCGUCAAGAACCUGCCUGUACCUCGGCCAUUUGAUAUUCUGCUGCUUCUGUUACUGUAACUGUGUUCAGUUCUGCCACACCAUGGGAUGGGAGCGUGGAUGUGACCAAGCUCUUCUUUACGGACAUUGUUGGCUACAGCGACGGCCUCUUCUUUUCCUCGCCGCAUCACUGGCCUGCUUGCAGCAGGCUUGACAUAUGUAUGUGCCAAAGUAGUCUGAUACAAGGAAGCUCCAUGACCGAUCACUGUGUAUCCCACUAGCUCCUGCUCUCUGCGACGCAACCAGCAUGUGCUAAACUCCAGCGCCAUCCUCAUAAUAGGUUGAGCAUAUAAUAGUCACAAUGUACAACAAAGUUUCAAGUUAGAAGGCAUCAUCUAUCACUGUUUUGCUGGUGGUAGGACCUCCCACCUCGGCUCCUUCCUCGCAACAAGAUUUUCACCUAGUGGAGCAUCUCACUGGUGUCAAAAUCGCUCUUAUAUUAUGGGACGGAAGGGGUAUAAGACAUUUUAGAGAUUUCAGUACAGAUGUAUAUUUAGGAACAGAGGGAGUGGUUUAUAAAAUCUUCCAAUAUCAUAGUGACCAUCUUCUGUAACUCAUUUUCGGAUGAGAUUUUAGUUGUUUACAAACUGGCGACCACGGCACACGCUAUCUUUCCCGUCAUUUCCAAGAAUGAUGGAGAACAUAUAAUCAAGUCGACAAAACAUACCAACCGUUUGGAUUGACAAACGGCCUUACCUUGUCAGCAUUCAUAUGUAUUAUCAGUCAACUGAGGAAAGAUAAAAUGUUGCUAACUGGAAGUUCGACAGAAAAGAGGUGGAGUCUACACUACAUACAAAAUUUGAAAGGGAUAUGUCCCACUAGAACUGAAAGAAAAAAGGGGGUAAACUUGUCUUUGUUUGGCUUCCAAAGUUUUCUAGUAUAUAUCUUUUGUCUACGAUCUGUAGAACCCUAGGAAGCAGCUCCCUGCAUGUACAUCACUUUCCCAGUAUGGAGAAGAGGAGUUAUAAAAACAACUUGCCCUCUUGCAUCUUUGCAGAAUACCUGUAAAAACAAAUAGAUAGAAAAACAAGGACGUGAGGAAUCAAAGUCAGGACAACAAAUCUAUACCACUGAAGAGCAGGAGAGAACACUCACGGUUUCACAUUUGUUCAGGAAGCACCCUUUUGCAAAGGUGAAAAGCUCUGUUGUUUAAUGAUUUCCUGGCUGGACGAUCCUGUUUCAUGUACAAACUUGACAGAUUCUGACAGCCUAUUCAGAAGAUUUACCAGUGCAAUGACCUCAUUUCGCUGCAGCUGGAACUGAAUGAUUACCAUGAAACAUUAUUAGACAAAUUGACAUCUAAAUGAACUCAAAAGGUAAAACCUGUUAUUCCAUAGGAAAUGUAGAAAACAAUACAGCAAAGCAUCAUGAACUGUGAGCUAGUGUCGUAUAAAGACGGUACGACGAAGACUACUCUCACCAAUCAUACAUCAUAUACCUUAUACUAUUAAGUUAUACAUUGCAAAGCGGUUGCGAAUAAACUGCAAAUGAACAGCAUACCUGUUGAUUCAAAUUGUUCUCUCCAUCAACAGAAAAAAGAAUCUUCAGCGCUGUUCCAAGCCCAAGAACUUGAAGCUUUCCCCAUAAUCGACACUUCUCACAACCAACACAGUCCAUAAUUGCACUGUAAACAAAAUGUUGCAGUGGGUACGGUUUCAUGUUAGUGAAACGCAUAAUAUAAAUUAAAGCAGAGAGAUUAAGGCACAUACCUGAUAUUUCUAAACUGCUUCUGGAUCUCCUGCUUUAACUCAGGGCCAUUUUCACCUUGCCAGAGUUUUGCUUCAUCAAAAGGUAAUGGGCAUGCAGAUCUUAACUUGUGGUUGUAAAGCAAUUGCCUCACUAAAGAUUGUGUUUUCAAAUCCUCUUCAGGAUUGCCAGUGUUGUACUCUGCCUGCUCAAGGUAAUCUGCCGCCUAAAAGAUAGCAAACAAAUUGUCACUCACGACAAGCUUUAGGCCAAAGCAACUCGACAGAUUAAUCUUUAAAAUCAAAGAUUAAGUUUUAAUCAAGGAAGAAAUGGGAACCUUAGUCACUGCCCGAAGAACAAAUAGGUAUGUGAAGUACAGAUUUUCGACACGCUCUGGGUACUUCAGAACACGGUCAUGCAACAACGAAAGGUUAUGUCCCCACUGUAAUCAUAUACACCAAACUUGUCAAAUCAAGUACAAAAAUCGUUUAAUAAGCACCAAACUAAGUGUAGAGUAGUAGAUAGAUACCAAGUUAGCGGAUUCAUCAAGAAGAUAAUCAUAAGCAAUAUGUACAGAUAUUGAGGAGUGCAAUCCUGAAAUUAGCUUGUAAAGUGCCUUCUUCUCCUGGCACAUAUCUUCUGAAGGAUCUGCGAAAAUAAAUGAAGUUUGACUAAUGCUUGUCCAGACUAUUGUAGUGAUAUAAGCAACGCUAGACACUACACCAUUCAACUUGGCUAGGACAGGCAACUGUACCAUUAGGGAUGCAAGCGGGCGUCCCACAUAUCCGCAAAUCAGUUCACUUCUGGCCAGAUGAUUAGCACUAAACUAGAGACGAAUUUGUACUAUCAUGUACUCCCUCUGUAAAGAAAUAUAAGAGCGCUCAAACCCGCUCUUAUAUUUCUUUACGGAGGGAGUAGCGCUCAAACCCGCCUGCUUUGCAUCCCUAUGUACCAUUACCAUAGAAGAGAAAUAAAUAAGCAACACACACUGCUCAUAAGCGGUUGUUUAGAGCACUGCCAGCAGACUGAAACUUGAAGGUACUUCAACAACAACAAAGCCUUUAGUCCCAAACAAGUUGGGGUAGGCUAGAGGUGAAACCCAUAAGAUCGCGCGACCAACUCAUGGCUCUGGCACAUGGAUAGCGAGCUUCCACGCACCCCUGUCCAAACUUGAAGGUACUUCCUUUUGUUAUAUACUCCCUCCGUCCGAAAAUACUUGUCGGAGACAUGGAUGUAUCUAGAUGUAUUUUAGUUCUAGAUACAUCUGUUUUUAUUCAUUUCUGCGACAAGUAAUUUCGGACAGAGGGAGUAUAAGUAUACCACAGAAGGAACCAUACAAUCUUAAUCUUAGAGCACAACCACACAAGUAAACUUAGUUUGAAUUGUUGUGCAUUCUCUAAGGGAAGGAUCAUGCAACUUACAGGCACAUCAAUGAUUCAUUUAAUAUGUUGUGGAUUCAGCCAUAAUGUACUUACAAACAAAGGAUUCUAUAGGUCAACUGCCGUCAGAAUGGACAUGUGAGAAAAAACGGAGAACAUAUGCUUACAUUUUGGGCAAUUUUCUUUGUAGAUAGCGUCCCAUAUCCUUCUAGCUGAAUCACCAGUAUAACCAGUAUAACGUUCAGGAUUAAGUUGAAGAUUCACAUAAGUCAUCUCAGCUGGAACAGGGAUAAAUUUUUGUUAAUCAUCAGAUUUUCAGGGACGCAUAAAAAAGAAUUAAAGGAAGAACGAUGUACAAAAAGGAGGGUAAACAAUGUACCAUUAUCCGUCUCAUCAUCUGAUGUCCAUGGAUUAUCGGUUUCAACCCACCCUUUGAAAACCUUGGUGUCGAGGGUUCUAUCAACCGUGGCUUCUGGUUUUCCUUCUUGACAGAUCAUGUUUUCAGGAGAAAGGCCACUGUAAGGCUUCUUGAAUGGUUCGGGAAAUUCAUUAUCUGGGCACUCGCAUACACUACAGUCCCUGAGCCGACACAUGCCAUCAUCAGGCCAAAAAGGGCAGUCACACCACAACUUAACCUAAACAAGGAAAUAAACAACCCAAGACUUAGAACAAAUAAAUGAAUGGUUGUAAUGUUGAUUUUCAGGGAUAGCAUCUCUGUACAAUCAUACAGUAGCUAACAAUUAUAGUAACCACAAAACAUGUAACAUUGGCUAUGUUAUCCUUAGCAGCAGCAACAUCAAAUAACAAACAUAUAUCAAUGUCUUAUCCUUAAAAAAAGAAAAACUGGUUUGAUGCUCUAUCAAUUGGCUAAAAGGCCAUCAACCUUAUCCGAGCUAAGAAUGAUGUACAAAAGAAAGGGAUAGGGAACCACAAGUCGCCCUAACAGACCCAACAGCUAUCAUCAUAUUAUGCUCAGUCCUCCAUAUCAGGAUGUAUUCUUUAUAUUGCUAACGUCAAAAUGCCCUAAAGGUUUGAUCCUUGAGCUUAAUGCUCUAAUCAAGCAACCAGCACUCUUUUUCCACAUCCAGCCCAAUUGACAAGUAAAAAGUGGCACCGUAUUAAUGCAAGCCAGAACAUUGUAGUAAAUAAAGUGCAGCAACCUAGUGGAGAAUUAUACAGUUGUGACCAGUCUCCCACAUAUAUAUCCAAUUCCGUUAUACAAAUAGCAGGGCAAAAAAAUUGGCUCCAUAGUUAUGGAGCAAAUGCUCCGAUCAAAUAUACACUGCUACAUAACUCUAACAUGUGGAGCUGGCUAUCACAGUUCUUAACAUCGGAACAUCACAAUAUGCACUUCCCAUAAGCCAGGUCACACAUAAAAAAAACCGUUAAAAAACAGAAGAGCAAAAUUUGCUUACCUUGAAGUACCUGAAGAAGGGCAGAGCGACGAGGUCCUGUAGGAUCGGGUUGAGCACCUCCUCGUUGAUGGCGUCCACCGUCUCGUAGUCGCAGCAGCAGUCCUCCACCAUCCCCGUGUACUUCCUGGCACCCUGACGAAACACGCAGCACCGGCCGCCCCAAAACCACGUCGUCAGAUCAAAACCUCCCGGAGCAGAAGGCCAAAUCACGAGACCAGGGGCGGGGGGAGCCUUACGGGGCAGCCGCAGCCUCCGCCGCGCGAGAGGGACGAAAUGGAGGGGAAGCUGCGGGAGCUCACGGCCACGGCGAGGAGCGCCACGAGGAGGGCCGCCGCCGCCGCCCACCAUCGCCUCCGCCUCUGGCGCACGGCCCCGCCGUUCGCCGCGGGAGGGGGCCCCUCUGACAUCCCGCGCCGGGUGGGUGGAAGCUUCUAGAAGGAAGCGAGAUCUGACCGAACAACGGCGGCGGAGGAGGAAUUUUCUCGCCGUGUUCGCAGUUGGGGCGUUGGCGGUUGGGGAAAAUCGCGUAGGCGGCUGCUACUACUAAUACAGAGGCUGCGGUGGAAGAAUCCGCGUGCGUGCCUCGGUUUACCCUCUGAUUGUCGGAACCGGCGAUGCUGCGCACGGAAUGAUGGAUCGGACGGCGUGUGUAGGGCCUGGGCGCAGCUGGACGGCUGGAUUUGCCCCGAUGACGUGUCUGUGCACCUGUGGGCCGCGUUUGCCCAACAGCUCAUUGACCAGCUCGCACGACACGUUAACUAAACUUCGCACAGUGCCGACGUCAAAAUGAGAAAAGGAACUUCGCACGGUGCCUUCGCGGGGUUGGCGUCUAGAAGAAAUCUCUCCGUUCCUCUGCGUGUACACAAACUCAAAAAAUAACUGAAACUUGUCAUCCGAAAAUAAAGUUGCCACGCUUCACAAUUAAAGUUGUCAUCCUCGCGUCAUCAAAAACAUUCGGAGGUGCCAUGUGUUCGUGCCACACAUGUAACUCUUAUCAGGUUCUAUAUCAGGAGAUACAUCUCAAAGCUCAUACAAGGACUCGAAUAAAGUAAAUAUAACACCUAAGUCUUUGAAUUUUCAAGAAGGACCCCGGACUGGAAACAAGAGCUGCAAUCAGGUCCAAAACAAGAUCUAUCCAGAUUGAGCAUCUUCAUCUUGGACGAGACUUACCUGCUCCUUAUUUGUGCGCCCAUCCGUGCCCCCGCAUACGUGACUUGAUUUGAUUGGAACAAAGUAAGGGCCGACCCCAUCCCCUUAAAAUCAGGGAGGAAGAUGAUUAGAUUAGAAAGAAAAAAAGAAAAAAAAACAGCCGUAGGAUGAGGUGGAAGUACGGAUGAGAAUAUGAAGAGAGAGCAGGUAAGCCGGAUCCCUUCAUCUAUGGGGACGAACCAUAAGUGCUCGUGGGAUGGAGUGAUGAUGGUUCAGCAAGAUCAUCACAAGGUGGCGCAAGUGCUUAUCGAAUGGAGCGAUGAUGGCCACGUAAUGCUACUUGGGAAGAUUUUGAGUCCCUGCAUCAAGGUUCUCCAUUGACACAUUCGUCGGCAAGAUCAUCGGAAGGCGACGUAAGUGCUUCUCGAAUGAAGUGAUGUUGGCCUACAGAAUGCUACUUGAAAAAAAAAAACUCGGGAAUAUUUUGAGUCCCUAUGUCAAAAGUUCCCACAUGCUCUGGUUACAAGCCAAAACUAAAUGAUGGAAAGAAGGGGAGUUCCAUUUCGUGACCAGCGUGAUGAAAAGCGAGUAAUCAUAUAGGGUGAGCAAGUUCAACGUCGGUGCUGUGCUGGGCUAACUACAACUUGCUUGCGUUUUUUUUCGAAUGUCCGCUGGCUCGCGUUUACACACUUUCACGUUCGUUUGUCUAAAAGACAAAAAAAUCAUUCAGCGCACAUUGAUUUCCGUGUCCGUUUUUCGAUUUUUUUCUAUUUUUUCCUUUCGGCCUGCUUCAGUUUUUCUUUCGUUUUUCUAUUUUGAAUUUUUUUUUUCUCUUUUAGUCUUUUCUAGUAUUUUUUUUCAGUUCACAAAUCUAAAAAAUGUUCGCUUAUUUUGAAAAUAUUCAUGCUUUAAAAAAAGUCCGGCAAAUCAUAAAAAAUCGUGGAUUAAAAAAAGUGGUGAUUUUGAAAAAGUGUUCGAUUGUUCAAAAAAAAGUUCAUGGUUUUGAAAAAGUAUUUGCGAAUAUUUUUGUUUGUCGGGCAUGUUUUUAAAAUUGUGAACAUUUUGUCUUUGCAAAUUUGAAAGUAAUGCUUAUGAUUUAAAAAAAAGUGUUCGUGAAUUCAAAAGGUGGUCAUGAUUUUCAAAAACAAUAGUCACAUAUUCAAAAAAUGUUCAUGAAUUUGAAAAUUUAUUCAAAAUUUUGAAAGAAAAAAAAUCUGGGAGAUCAUAAUUGUUUCAUGGGUGCAAACUUUUUGUGGCUUUGAAAAAUGGAUCAUGUAUUUAAAAAAUGUUCAUGGUUUUGAAAAAAAAGUUUGGAAAAUCACAAACUGUUGGCAUAUUCAACAAAAAUAGAGUUUGAAAAAUGUCCAUGCAUUCAUAAGAUGUUUUAUAUUUUUCAAAAAAAUUGAGAUUUAAAAAAUAAUCAUGAUUUUAAACAAAUGUAAAUAUUUGCGGUUUCAAAAUAUGUUCAUGAUUUGAAAGAAAUGUCCAGGAAAAUAGAAAAUAUUCGCGGUCCCAAAAUAGGUUAAUGAUUUUAAACAAUUGUUCCUCAAAAAAUAAAAUUUUAAUAGCAAAAAGAAAAAUAAAAAGAAAAAAACCUAACGCUCUGUUUGGAUGUUUAAUUGAAGGAAAAGAAGUAAAAGCAUAAAUGAAAAACGAAAAUAAAAAACAAAAUAAAAAAUUUAGAAUAAACCAAAAUAAAACGAAAAAUGGUGCGGGACGGCUCUCCAUCCUUUUCAAAAACAGAAAAAAAAACUAAAUGUAGGAGUUACUUGAGCCGGCCCAACUAUAGGUCACGCCAUGAGGUACAUUGUACCUGUCUAUUCGCUGACCCUGAAGGACAACUAAGGGAAGCUCAUUGGACCGGUCUUCCCAACCGGUUCGUAACAAGAGAGAUCUGGCAUGUCUAUGUUUGGGCCCUUGUUAGGCCUUGUAACUCACCCUUACAUACUUGCAAGCCUAGUUUAGGCUCCAUUCAGCCUUGUAACUCCAAAAAUGUCAAAUGGAUGCGCCCUUGUAAAGCCUUGUACCGAACCCUUACAUACUUUGUAAGCCAAGUUUGGGCUCCAUUAGGCUUUGUAACUCCAAAAAUGUCAAAAUGGAGGUCUUCAUUUGAAAACUAUAUCAAAAUCAAACGUCUUAGGGUUUUUUUUUUCAAACAAUACACAUAUACCUAGAGACAUACUAAUAUACAUGUGUGAAAAUGUUUAGGUCAACUUGUAAAUAUGAGGCCUUUUAGCAAAUGUACUGUUCAUUCUUUCUUGAUAAAAACUCCAUGAUUUUCUAUUUCAUCCUGAAAUUUUACAGGACAUACAAGAUGUAUAUUUUUCUAAAAAAAUUAGAACUCUUCAGUUUGAAUUUUGCUCGGUCUCCGAGAUGCCCUACUCCUGUAACUCGCCUUAUAUCCCCCUCAACAAAAAAUACUCGCCCUUAUAUACUCUGUAUCUGGAUGUAUCACAACUGCUAAAAAAAAAUAAGUAUCUGGAUGUAUCGCAAUUUGGACUGGAAGGAUUCUGUAAGAUGAUUCUGCAAGCUGCAAGGUGGAUGGGUGGAACAGCAACAAUUCAAGAUAUUCCAAAUACUUCGCCAUUGAUACCAAGCCAGAUCUUUGUCAAAGACGCUGGCCAUUGGGCGUUGCCAAUGACUUUAGUCCCAUCUCGGAUAUGGGAAGAGGCUAGGACCACCUUAUAAGAAGGAGUGCCACACUCCCUUCAGACCAGUUUUUUUUGGAUGUAGUGGGCUCUUUGCUUGUGCUGGAGGUUGGGACCGAACGUAUGCUGAAGGUUGGGAGCGACGCUAACAAUCUUCCCAUUAGCAUAGUAGUUGUUGUAGCUCAUCACAGUAUUGCAACAUCCAUCAUCCAUCACACGGAUAAAAAAAGGGCGAACCAACCAGACAAAACGUACUUAGAAACCAGGCCAUGUCACAGUACUGCAACAACUAUCACACGGAGAAAAAAGAUGACAUGAAAAACUUAACACUAUGCCCUUAGAUUGUGCACACGGCGGUUCCUCGAGUCUUUAUUCUUCACUGGACUGAACCCGAGGCCGAGGCAAGUUAGGCUCAGUUCAG
This 65602-nucleotide long non-coding RNA is filed under the name Triticum aestivum (bread wheat). Its description in RNAcentral is "long non-coding RNA (TAES_LNC001908)". The stretch from base 59781 to 59905 matches the Rfam family "MIR1120/MIR1122 microRNA precursor family". Lineage: Eukaryota; Viridiplantae; Streptophyta; Magnoliopsida; Poales; Poaceae. The record is from RNAcentral.